This 58249-nucleotide long non-coding RNA is filed under the name Durio zibethinus. Its description in RNAcentral is "long non-coding RNA (DZIB_LNC000885)". Lineage: Eukaryota; Viridiplantae; Streptophyta; Magnoliopsida; Malvales; Malvaceae. The record is from RNAcentral.
AACUAGCACCACUUCGAUCGUCUCCGACGGAAAGAGGAAUUCUAUCCUAGGCAGAAAGAAAAAAAUCGAGCAAGUCGGUAAGAAAUGGAGCAAAGAAAGCGGCUUCAAAAGAAAAGCCCCAGUUAGAGUCCAAAAGGAUACGAGUAACCAAAAGUACGGUGAUACUGAUAAUCACUCGUUUCAAAAGAGAGAAAAAAAAAAUGCUGAAAAAGGUUCGAUUCAUCUUGUGUGAUGGAAAUUCGUAUUCUUCGCGGCUGGUUCUGAACGCCAUCUACUGUGGACUACUGAGAUGCCUUUUAUUAUCAGUAAGGGAAUGACUUUUCACUCUAAAUUCUUAGUUUUACUUAUUUACUUGUUAAUUCUUACUUGAUUCAGUUCAUUUCUUUACAUUUGAUUGCUCUUUAGAUCACAUUUAUAUUGCAUGCUUUAUUUUUUGCAUUUUUAAUUGUUGUGUAGUUUGCUAGUUAGUUAAGUUGCUUUUCCUUUAUUUUCCGUGAAUUUUUGUUGAAUUUUGCAAACAACUCAUUGUUGAAUCUUGCUUUAGUUCAGUUUAAGCUUAUGUUCUUUAGGAAUUUCUAGAUCUACAUUUUCCUUUUAUGAUUUGGUUAAAUUCAGCUUUAAAGUAAUUUCUGUUUAGAGAAAUGUUAGUUCCUUCAUACGAUUUUUAUGGAAUUUUUUAUCUUCUCUUUACUUUCUUAUAUUGUUCCUUAGUUAAACUUAAUUUCCAGCUCAUGUUUAGUUCAAAUUACAUCAAUGAGAUCUAGAUUAGUAGCUUCAAACUCAAUUUACAAAAUUUUUGCUAGUUUUGGUUUUAACUUUCUUUCAUUGAUUCUUGCAAUUCUUCUUUAGUUCUUGUUUCAAUUUUGUUUUUCUUAUAAUUCUUUUAAUGAUCUUUUAUUUCCAGUUUAUAAUCCUUUAGUUUUAUACAAUUUAAAAUUAGACUUUUAGCUAGAAGUCAUAGGUUUUAAGUUGCAUUCAUGUUCAACUUUCAAAGAUUUAGCUAGACCUGGUGAUUUAUGUAUUAAUGUCAUGUAAAAUAUUAUAUUUUGUGUAUUUGUACCGUGAUUUACAUGAAAUUAUAUGUCAUAAUUCGUGUUGACACAAAAACAUAAAAUAUAUUUCUUUAUUUUGUUAAACUUAAAUAUAAUUAUUGCUAAAAUUUUAAGUUGUGUUAUCUUCAUGUCCUAUAUUCGUAUCAUAUUAAUGUUGUAUUUUAGAUUGUCAGGUCUAGAUUUAGCUCAGAUUUAUAAUUUUUUUUUUCAUUAAGAGCACUGUAAUGUUGUUUCUUCUUUAGUUCAUUUGCUAUUUUUUCACUUUACCAUUCCAUUUCAUACAAACUGAAGUACAUUUGUUUUCAAUUUUUGUUAACUCUCGAUUUUUCUAGAUUUGCAAGCUUUUAUUCAGUUUUUGCACAUCCUUUGAGUUGUGUAAUUUUGCUACUUAAAUUUUCAUCUAAAAUUUGUUUUUACUUAGAUUUAGAUACUGUCAUUACAAUUUGCAUCUUAUUUAGUCUAAUCCUUUAGUAUUUUCUUAGUUGAAAGUUGGAGUUAGUUAAGGUAGUUAGUGUUUGGUUAUUAGUUAAUUUGGUUAUGUUUCCCUUAGUUUCUAUUUUUGUUUCAUUUUUUACUUACUAUUUUCAAUUCUUAGUUUAGAAUUACAUUUUAAUUCAUGAUUAUUUUGUGAUUGAACCAAAUUUAGAUAGGAUAUGGAGAUAAUAGGUACUUAAGCUAGGACUUUCUUUAAUUAAACCUUGUGGGAUCGACAUCUAUGCUUUUUAGCUUCCAUUAUUACCUAAACAGAUUGUGCGCUUGCAAAAUUUUUCCAAUCAAUUAUCAUGGUUUGAACAUUGAGUAUGGUUUAGUGUCUACUCAAUAUUAUCCAACUAUGUUAAGUCUUAUAUUUGACAUUAACUCAAAAAUAAGCUUUAGAAUAAUUUUAACUCUUAUUUUACUUUGGCCAAAGAUUUUUUAAGUUAAUUCAAUCAAGACUAGUUGAGAUACUCUCUUGAUCACACAAGGUGAUGAAUCCCAUAUUGAUUACUUCAUAGAUCUUCAUAUGCCUUAUGUUAUACCCAACAAUACUUUACUAGAGCAUUCUUGAUUAUAACCACAAGUAAAGUAAAAUCAAAGUAUAACAUUUAUUAUAUAAGAUUAUAAGUAAUCUCAAGUCAAAAGAUCACUUAUACAACCAUCAUAUGAGAAUGUAGCUAUAAAAAUUAUGUGAACUAUCAUAUAGCAUUAUAUUAUCAGGUCAUGUUCAGUGAACUUGUUCUUGUAACAAACAUCUACAUGUUAGCUCAAGUUUAUCCAAAACUUUUACUUACGAGAUUAUUUGCUUGCUUCAUAAGCAAAUAUAUAAUCAUGUGCUAGUGCUAAUAGCUUUUGUCAAUAUCCUUUUAUUGACAAAGCAUCGACUAGGAACUAAUUUUGGAACAUAUAGCUUUUAUGCAAUGACGAUAUAACAAUUACUAUUUCAUUGUAAUUCUCUUACAAAAUUUUAUUUAUAUUUCAAGGAUUUUGUUAUGUAAGCAUCGACAUUAAAAAUAUAUGUAAACAAGCUCAUGAUAAAUAAAUAAGACUUUUUAUAAGAUAUCAAAUAUCAAAAUACUAUAAAUAUGACAAUGUCUUGGCAAAAAUAUGAUUUGGCUUAAAGGUUAAAUACCAACAAUAGUAACAGUAAUGGUACAAUGAUAUUUGCCUUACCAAUUCUUUCCUAUAGAAAUCUCAUAAGUGAAAUAUGAUGGACAUGUAACUACUGUAAAAGUUGGAUCUUUAAUAAAAAUUAGAGUUCAACAUCCCUGACAUCAUGCUUCUCUGACUUGUAAUUUCUCCAAAUUUUCUUAUUAAUCCCUUGAAACUAAGAUUUCUACAUGGAAACAUCACGAGCUAGAUUGAAACUCAAUAGAUGAGAGUCCUCAAAAGAAAGUCUUAUCUUACCAAACAUUUUUGGACUCUACCUUUUUAUUCAUAAGCAUGCAAAGUAGGAAGAAAAUCUAUGAAAUUAGGAUAAUCAAAAUUUCUUCUAACACCUUUCCCAUUCCUCUAUAUUCAGAGACGAAGUCAGGGAUGGGCCAAUGUUGAUUUUUUCUUUUUUUUCCUACUUGUUGAAGCCUCAUUAAGGAGCUUAACGAAUAGGUAAUAAUCAUAUUUAGGGAUGGAAACCAACUUCUUGGUUUGCUUCCUUCAUUAAAAUUUCAAGAUGCCUAAUCAGCUCAAAGAAACAUGUCAUCAUCAAGAAGCUCAAAACCAUAAAAAUCCUACAAAAUGACACAAACUCCUAAAACCCCAAAAACUAUGAAAAAACUUACAAAUUACUCUCUCGAUAUCCCUCGAUGUUUCCUUCACUUUUUUUAGUGGAACUUUCAAUGACAACAUUUCUUUUUAGGGCCAUUUGUCUCUUUUUCACAAAUUCACACCCAAACAACACAGAACAUCAAAACAGCAAGCCUUUUCUAGAGGAAGUAAGAAAAAUUGAAAAACUAGGGAACCCCACAUCUCCUAUUUAUACCCAACCAAGGGGUGAAAGUGAAAAGAUACAUCCUUAGAUCAUUUCAACUAGAUCUUGAAUGGUGUAAAGAUUUAAUCCCAUUGAUACCUCCCCAACCACUCUUUCAAAAUUAGUGCAAAAAUUAAUUCCCUUUUAAAAUCUUUUCACCUACCCCCUUAAAAUUGGUGCAUUUUGAAAAAUGCAUUCAUCAAAUGCUCUUAAAAGUGGUGCACUUUGGAAAAUUGCACCCAUUAAAUGUAUUUGACAGCUCUUCAUUAAAAUCAUAACAUAUAAUUUGUCUAGUUGCUUUUCUCAGUAGUACAUGCACGUGCACCACACCAUCCCACUACACACAUUCUUAUCAUGUGUGCUCCAUAGAUAGUAUAAAGUUUUUGCAAAAUUUUUUCUAAGUCCUCACUUGCUGCUCCCUAUGGUUCUACCAACUUCUAAGCUUGCCUAAAAAAAAUCACUGCAUCUUAGCAUGACACAUCAAUAGCCAAGUUUACCCAAAGCACUUGUCUCACCCAUAGGGAACACUUUAGCACAUUUGUUUGUCAAAGACGCUCACCUUGUCUCAAAAGGACAUGUCAUAUGCCAAAUUCACCAAGCUAUAAAGACCUUCGCCAAAGUAUCUUUCCUUUUAUUGCCUCUUCUUUUCUUUUUAGGCUUUGGAAUACGGUUUGAGGACAAACACUUUAUAACCCCUCAAACCUAGAAGCCAAUUGUUACACCUAAGUUAACUAGUUAAUGAUCAAAGCUAGGUCAAUGUAGCUAUGCUUUUAAGUCGCCCAAAUAGCCACAUCAUUUGCCCCCAAGAAAAAGGUUCACCCAUUACUAAAGGAAAGACUCACCCAGGGUCCCAUAGACAUCUAAUCAAGGUAGCUACUUUAAAACUGACCACCCAGCAUUCAACUCGGUUAGGAUCAUUAAAUGCAACCCAUGCCUACCUAGGAUCAUUAAAUGCAACUAGUAGUCACCCACGUGGACCCUUCUUAAGCUCUACGCAAACAUCUUAUUAACCGUCAACUGUCUUAGUCAAGUCAACGCCACUCGAUCUCAGAUAUAAGGUUAUUGGAAGACCAAGUACGAAGAAACAAGUAAGAACACCUAAUCCUAAAACAUUAUGGGUUUUCUCUCUAUCAAAGCUUAACACUCAUGCCUCACCAUCUUCAUCUUCUUUGCUUCCUUAUCAAAUCUCAAGUAUCUUACUGACUUGAGUGUCGAAGCAUGUCUCGGAGUAAUAACUCUGGUACCCCUAACUGCUUUCUUUGACUGCAGGUCAUAACUGUCCUUUCCUCCAUCUCAACUCCUCCCUUCUAGCUAAAAUAUUCAAAAACACCAUCAACAUUCUUCAAUGGAAUUUGACUUCUUCUCUUAGUUUUUGAACUUGUUUGUGCAAAGAAAGUCUCGGUUCUGCCUUUGAUAAACAGAAUAUAAUUAUGUUUUGAACUCUAUUACACCCGAACCAGGAAUUCUUUUAGCCCUUGAAAAUUUCAUGUAAUUUUUUGCCUAAACCGUGACUUCCUUCAUCAAAAAUCAAAUUCACUUUUGAAUUCUUCAUGCAAAAUAUUAAAAUUCCAUUCAGCCUUAAAUUCACGUUAGUUCAAGGCAGAAAAGGGGAUAACAAAGUCGGUUUAGGCUGUUUUAAUUCAAGUAAAAUUUUAAAAUCCCUCUCGCCAUGUCAGCUUGCCAAGUCAGUAUCCUGUCAGUUCCUCUAUCCAAUUAAAAUUUAUCCACUGGAUGUGUACCUACAAAGAAUACCAUGCUCUCGCACCAAAAAUACUGGUUUUAAAAAUUUUGUCUACUGUAAACCAAACACUGCCUUGAUUGUCUUUAAAUUUUUGCAUAGGUUGCAUGUCAUUAAAUUGCAUGAAAGAUCAAAACAUUCUUCAACUGCAGUACUGCCGAAUUCUGCCUGCAAUUUUUCUGCCAGUUUUCUUCUUAAUUCAACUCCAAAAUAGCUUACAUAAAUUCUGGACAGCUUCACAACAUUCCUCAACCGGUUCAGCCAGCUUUCUUGGACAAAUCUCACAUAUUUUUCUCAAAAAUCAGUCAAAUAGCUUCAAAUUUUUAACUUUUCAUCUUUUAUUCAAAAUUUCUUAUACAUGAACAAUUUGAGCAAAUUAAGAAGAAAAAAUAAAUUAUUUUACCAAUAAUAAAACAAAAUUCAUGUCACUCUAUUUUAUAGAGGUAUCCACUCCUUCCCUUUAUCCACAUUAUAUCAUGUGUUUCCAUCACAUACAUAAUACAUACAUAUAUAAGGUAAGUCCAAAUUGACUCAUUGGUAUUUUGGUGCAUCAUGCCAAGAUAAUUUUAUGUCUACAACAAGUGGUGCUUAAACACAUUCCUUUACAAGACUUUCAAUUUAAUACAUAAAGAAUUACAAUCCUUUUACCCUAAUAAUCCUAAUACAUCACUUUUAAUAAAAUAACAAAGUAAAUAAGAAGGUCACGCCAUUAUUGUGUCAAAAUAAACAAACAAUGCACCCAUGAAUAUCACAAAAUACCAAAACAUAUAUGCAUUCAAUCACAUACAUCACUCAAAUUUAGUCAUUAUUUAAUGGAAAUUGCCACAUUCAUUUUCUAAGAGAAUGAAGAUUAGAUCCAUAGUAGCCUAGGUAAUGUAUAUGUGCUUCAUUUAAGUUAGAAACAGUAAUUUCACUAUUAAAUAAAAUAAUCAUGGCUUGUGAUGUAAAAUACAUAAAUGACAUGGAUGAAAAUAUAUUCUAGAUAUUCAUGCCAAAGUUACCAAUAAUUAGGCCAAAAAAAUUAUAAGCUCAACUAAUUAAUUUUAAUAAAUAAAUUAAUUAAGCAUAUAGCACCAUAGAGUACUCCACAUUCAUAGAAAGCUGAAACUACAUUCCAUUCACUAAAAUUAUUCAUACACAUGUUUCAAAGUGUGAGUGAAUUUUAAACAAUAGAAUUAUAUGAUUUUUCAUAAGAAAAAUCACAAAAAGAAAAAAAAACUUUCGUAAUUUCUAUAAAUUUCAAAAAAUAAUUCAAGUCCUAAAUUUUUAGUGAAUAUCCAAAAAUUAAACAAAAAAUUUUUCUUUUGUUGACAAACAAGAGAGAAUUUAAAAGAAAACCUUUUCAUCCAAUGUGAUUGAGAUUACCUAUUAUUAUUUUUCAUAGGUAUACAUGUCUAUUUAUAUAAUACAUAUUUCAAUUCUAUUGUCAUAUUAAAAAAAUUUAAUAGUCUCUAUCUAGAUUUAUAGUAAAUUUGAGUCAAUCCAACUCCAUGUAUAUAUUCCAACAUUGUUGACACUAUGAAAAUAAUUCGAUAAUGUAAUGAAAAAGAUACUCAUUUUCAUUUUCGAAUUUUGAUGAUUAUUUGUCUCUCAUUGACUUUCAUAAUUUUUUUUAAAAGACUUGAUUUUACGGUAAUUGAUAUUAAAUAUAACGUCCCCUCAUUUGUAAUAAAAAAAAGUUGCAUUAAGUGUUAAAAGAAAGAAAAAUAAUAAUUUUUAAGCACAAAAAAGUUAAAAAUAAUAAAACGAAAAAAAAGAAGCAUCAAGAAACCGCUAACGGCUAGUCGAGUAGAAGGACCCUCCAACGGUCACUAAGUAGGCGUGGACCAAAUCAAAUUAAUUAUCAAUUAUUUUAUAAUAAAAUGCAAAAUUUGAGCAAAAAGCUGUAGACUUUUUGUCCGACGUCCCGACACGGUUAGCCGGUGAUUGCUUACAUAACACUUCCAUUUAAAAAGAAAAAGAAAAAAAAAAAAAAAAACUAAAAAGGGCCCGCUCUCUCCUCAAGAGAAAGAUCCCUUCCCUACGUACCCUUGCUUCCUUCUAUAAUUUCAAACGUUGCCCUUCUUCUUUGCUUUAAUUUUUAAUUUUUAAUUUUUUUCUUUAAUUCACCUAAAAGCCAAAAACACAUUAGAGGCUUUCAAUCGUUGAAAGAAAUAUCAGAAAAUCAGACAGGUCCAGUUACUGUCUGAGAGGAUUUUAUACCACGCGCAUUUGAAAAUGUGAAGGUCACAUGCAGAGUGUGGAAAGGGCUUGGCUUGAUCCUGACUCCUGACGGGGCGCGUGAAUCGAAGUCAUUUACUCGAAGCCCAUAGAUACUCAUGUUGUGCAUCUGGUCAUGGUUAAUAAAACGUUACUAUGCGUGUUUCUUUUUGAAAUAAUAAAUAAAUAAAUAUAUAAAUCAAUCAAUAAAAUAAAAAUAAAAACUCUCCUCAAAAUCAACCAAUCAAUUAUUCCAAGGGGAAAGAGAGAUCGCUUUCUCAGUCUGUGUGCAACAUCGUUUGAAAGAAAAGCCUAAGGUAAUUUCACAUCUCAUCUAGUGUGGGUUUGUGUUUCUUGCCAUCAGAAAAUCUGGGUCGACUCUCAUAAUCUUGCGUGAUCUGAGAUUCUUUUUCCUUUUUUUUUUUUUCAUGGUUUAAUGAAUAUUCCUUUAUGUAAAUUUUUUGUUUAAAAAAAUAACAAUAAUAAUCGAUUCCUUUUCUUCUUAAAUGACUAUGCUUUCUUGGUGAAAUGGGAAUGUGAGAUGCUUUUCUUCGUUGAAUUUGUAUGGGUUUCCUUUUGCUGGUUUAUAUUUUUAUUUCAAUAUCGGGAGCAGUACUUUGCUUAUUGAGUUUUGAUAAGACUAGAUUAGGUUUGUUUUGCAAAUGCACCGCUUGGGUUGAAAUUAGUUUCUCUUUUGGCCGAAAUUAGUUUCUCUCUUUUGGCCGAUGCUCAUAGUUUUGAGUUGCUCUUCAAUGUAAAUGCAUGUUUCGCAUAGAUAUGUGUGUGCUGUUAUUGUUCUAUGAGGUUUUUGUCGAAGCUCGACUUCCACAUGUUACUUUACAACAUUUGCGAUCUAUAAACUGCAUUUCCAAAUUAAACUUUAACCAGCUUAAUUGAAACACAACUUCAUUGCCAAAAAAAAGUUAUACCAAACAUGGUGUAAAGCCACUUGGUAGAGGUGUAAUUUGUGAAUAAUAUUGUCUUGCUCAAACUAUUGUGGCUUUAGAUAGCUUCGAGUUUCUCCUAUAAUAAACAGAUGGAAAUAUAAAAACUAAUUAAUGAAAUUAGAUUACAUAGAUAAGACAUAAGAGAUUAAUAUGUAGUUUUUAGAAACUUAUAGUCCGCAUUGAUUGCAAUGUGUUCCAUGAGUCAUUAGUCUCAUAUGAAUUAUUGGGUUCAAUCAUCUGUAUCUUAUUUAUAUGCAUAUAUGUUUGUGGGUGCAUCUUCGACAUUUAUACUUUUGAUUUAUAAAGUGAAAAUUCACAGGGUUGACUCUUUAUCCUCUCUGCUACUUAUGCCUGCUACUUUUGAAAAAACCACUCUUUUUUUUUUUGGGUUUCAUUUUAAAUAUAAAGUGUUAAUUCUGUUCAUUUUUUUGGUUUUUUGUGUCUUUUUUGGCAGUGCUGAAUUUUCACUGUAAAUAAGUGCCAAAGGUGCUGAUCUUUUGGGACGUGUCUUGCUGAGGUUCUGAGUCUUUUCUCAAGGAUUCUUUUUCUUCCCUUAGGAUGGUAAUUUUAUUCCGUUUACAUAACAACGUCUAUAUCUGCUAAUUGUUGUGGAAAUUAACAAAUUUUUUGUUCAAUUGUUAGUUACUUGUCCCCAUUUAUCCUAGUUAGUGAAGAAAGUUUUAGGUAUAUAGUUCCAGAAUAAUAGUGCUUUAAGCUGUUUAUGGUGUUAAAGAAAGAAAAAGAAAGGUCCAUUAUAUAUAUGGUACGGAAUUUCCAAUAAUUUGUCAUGUGAGGUCUUUAUUUGACCUGUAAGGAAUCACGUUUCUUAUAUUGUUCUAUUGUGUUGUGUUAGGCAACUAAUGAAAAUUUUCCACCAAACGUAAUAAAGCAACUGGCAAAGGAAUUGAAGAGUCUUGAUGAAUCCCCACCGGAAGGCAUUAAAGUCGGAGUAAAUGAUGAUGAUUUUUCAAUCAUUUAUGCUGACAUUGAAGGGCCAGGCACGCAAUUCUUUCCAAACAAAUUUACUUUGUGGCACACUUGUUUCUUUUCCGUACUGAGGAUAUUUUUACUUUGCAGCUGGGACUCCUUAUGAAAAUGGUGUUUUCCGUAUGAAGUUGUUACUGUCUCAUGAUUUUCCUCAAUCUCCUCCAAAAGGUAUGUUUAAUAGGUUACAAUAAUCCAGACAUAAUUAGAUUUCAAUGGUGCUAUGAUCUAAGAAAAUGUAGAACCUGGAUCAUAUCAGGCUUCUCAAGUAUACAUUACAAGAAAACGGACAAUUAACUAAUAAUAUUUUUACGGUCAUGGCGUGCAAUUUUGUUUUGCAUUUUAAGCCACUCAUCCUGUAUUUGAAUCUCCAAAUUUUAUGGUUAUACUAUAAUGCCAAAAAAUAUAUAUUAUUUUGUGCAUUAGUGAAUAUUCUGAAAUCUUAACAUCUAUACUGCAGGCUACUUUCUGACAAAGAUUUUUCAUCCAAAUAUUGCAACCAAUGGUGAAAUUUGUGUGAACACACUUAAAAAGGAUUGGAAUCCAAGUCUAGGAUUACGACAUGUACUCAUUGUAAGUUCCAUUGGACCCAGACCAUUCUAUAUCCAAUAUUUAUCAGUUUGUUUGAUAAGAACUGCCUCUGUACUGCCCAUUUUCUUUUGGUAGUUCAGCUAUAGAUCUUUGGUUUCAUGUUUUUUAUCUUCCUUAACACUGGACUUUGUGACUGCAGGUAGUUAGGUGCUUAUUGAUUGAGCCAUUUCCAGAAUCAGCUUUAAAUGAACAGGCAGGCAAAAUGCUGCUUGAAAAUUAUGAUGAGUACGCCAGGCAUGCCAGGUGAGGCUUGCCAAACAACAUUAUUUACUAAUAUUUUUUGAUGUGGAAACCUAGAACCUUACAUUGAGCGUGUCUGAAACAGGACAAACACUGUUGUUUUCUGUUUUUGGUUAGAAACUAUGCACAUUUCCACUGUCUCAUGGUUUGUCAAAUUCCUUAAGAUGGAAGGGGAUAAAAACGUCAAUUCUAGGCCAAUUCCAACUGCCCUAUUGGUGUCUUAGUUGCUCAUAAGUUCAUUAUGGUUUUGCCUUCAGUAUUAUCAUUUUGGUCAUUUGACUUUCAAGAUUUCAAGUGUUGUAGUCCGUCAUGCCUUAUAGAUUUGAUACUAUGUAGAGAAGUUAUUGUUUUGUAAACUGAUCUGUUGCAAUUGAAAUAGCAAGGUCCAAAGAUAGUAUGACUGCUACACUCUAAAGAAAUCAAAUUGGAAUUGCGCACAACCAUGAAGGUCUCACAAAUGUGUUUUCUGUUCUUAACACAGGCUUUAUACAGGAAUUCAUGCGAAGACAAAACCUAAGUUCAAGUCAGGAGCUAUUUGUGAGUCAACUACAGCAUUGAAUGUUGACCAGUCUAAGACCUCGGUUCUCAAUGUUGACCAAAAAAAUGCAGCAAGUGGAGCAGCAUUAUCAUUGCCAUCUCCUCUGGCCCUGCCCACCACAGCGACAAAAGGAGGCCACAACCAGGAGCCGCAGUCUUCAGUUCCAACAACUGAAACAGGAGUGAGUGGAACUGCCCUCGUAGGAAUAGCAGGCACUGCUCUUAAGAAGGAAGGUUUGACAAAAGUUCCGGCCCUUCUGGCAGGCAAGAAGAAAAUGGAUGCUAGAAAGAAAAGUCUGAAGAGAUUAUAAAAUCAGAGGAUAAAAUAAUUAAAUGUUGGUUUUUGGAAUAUGGAACUAACGUAAAGUAACGGUUGGGAAAUCGGUUGCUUUUCGGUGUAAUGGAUGCUUUAGUUUGGGAAGGUGAUGCAUCAAAGUUGCCUGUUUACGUUGUUUUCUGUCUCAUUUGAUCAUAUUAUGGUUUUUCUUUUUUUUUUUCUUUAGGGGUGGGGUGAGAUACAAGUUUCACGUUGAGGUGUCAAAUGGUCGGCAGUUCAUGAUCCGAUUCGCUAUGAUAUAGAUUUUUUUUGGUACGAUUCGUUUUUAAGUAAUCGACUUAAGUCAAACAUAAUAUAUAUAUAUAUAUAUAUAUAUAUAUAGUGUUGGGUUAAAAGAUUUUAAAUUCAUUGAUCAACGUGGCACAAGCCAUUAAAAGAUAAAAAGAUAGUGUCAUUGACAUGCAGUCGUUACUUUUUUUACACAAAAUCAGUUUGUUAGAAUAUGCAAUGCAUCUUAUUUAUUUUUUAACGAUAUUAGGUGUGAUUUUUUUUUUCUAUCCAAUCUCGUUUUCAUGGUUGUCAUCUUAUUUAUUAAAUUAUUUGGUUGAUCUUUAUUGAAAUAUUUAAUGUAAAAUCAAAAUAAUCAAGGAUUGAUUUGAUAUCACUUAUAAUAUCAUCGUUACUUUAAAAAAAAAAAAAACUUAAUACGGUAACCAACAUUUAUUUGUGCAGUACCUUUCUUUUUUUUUAUCUGACUUAGGAUUAAUGUAUUUUGCUUACCUUUUAAAAGCACUAGGCGUGACACCAACACGCCGCACAUAAACUAGGCACGGCAAACAAAUUUUAAUGACGUAGAAAUAGCACGACGCAACACGCAAUCUCAAAAUGAACCGAAUUCAUGGUAUUUCAGGAAUUAUCUUACGUCAGGCUGUAUCGAUGCUCUUAACAAAAUUUUGCUUUUUCUGGGCUGUUGGCUACAUAAACAGAGUAUAUAAAUCUACACAUAAAAAUGAAAAAAUUGAAAGAAAAUUGUAAGCACAAAAAACAAAAUCCUUAUUACUCUCUUAAUUGAGUUCCAACAACUUUUACUCCUGUCCUAUUGUUUUGAAAGUAUUGAAACAAAAAUAUAAUUAUAACCAAACAUGUUUUCAGUUUUAAUAAAUUAAAAAUAAAACAAAACAAAAAUUUGUGAAAAAAUAAACAUAAAACAAAAAAUUGCUAAUAAUAACAAAUUACUGUACGUAGGUAUACGGUAGUGAUGAGAAAGCCUUUCUUUUCUUUUCUUUUUUUUUUUUUUUCCUUUAAGAAACGCCUGUCUUUUACAAACACUUAAAUUUUUUCCUUUAUACAGGUUUUUUUUUAGGUCAUGCUAUUAAUUGAUUUAUUGUUUAAUAUAUAAGAGGUCACAAUCUAAAAUUAAUAGGAUAAAUUUUAAAUUAUUGAGAUUCAAACUUUUGACUUAUUAAAUAUUACCUUUUAAGAGUAAAUAUGGGAAUCAGUUCAAUUAAAUUCGUAUUUUAAUUUAUUUAUUAGAAAAUUUCAAUAACCAUAAUUUAAACAAACCAAAUUAAAUUUAUAAUCCAAAUGAUUUAAGAUCCAUACCUUAUCUUAUCUUGGCGCUUUUACGUAUCAGCUAUGUUUCGCUAAGGCAGCUACAAUUGCUUUAACUCAUCUCAUGGUCCCGGCUAUUUCAUAAACAUUUUAUAGCUAACUCAUCUCUAGAGUAAAUUAAACAGUUGAAUUGAACAAAAAAUUAAGAAUAAAACGAUGGAUCUUUUUGCCAAGUCAAUAGUAAAUUUUAUUAAGAAGGGGGGGGGGGGGGGACAGAGGAAACAAAACCAUUUGCAACUUAGUACAACUGAAAUAGCAUCGUCUCAUGAACUGCAAAGGCCCUGGAAACAUUCAAAAAGAAAGAGAAACCACCUCAAACUAAGCUCAAAACUUGAUUCAAAAUGUUACUUAAACUUUUCACGAGUCUUUGGGACAAAUCUUCUUAUUUUGGAAACUCUCCAAAGCAAAGUCCAACUGAUUGAGAAUUUGCAAACGUACAUAUCAUACAAAUAAUAAAGAAAAGCUCAUUCCCAUGGAGAUUAUUAUAUUGAGAGUAACAGAUACCAAAAUUAUAUAACCCUACCUUAUAUUUGGAUAAUUCGAAUAAGAUAUGCAAAACCAAAAUAUAAACUAAGCAAACCUAAACUAAUGUAAACCAAAAAGAACUAAAAGAAACAAACAAUGUAAAUAAAAUUAAACCGAAUCUAAACUACCUGAAAGCAAUUAAUAUGAAAUUAACACGCAAAUAACCUAAUUCAAUUAAACAUGCAAGUAUGCUUGAACGUGCAAACCUAAUCAAAAUAACAAGAAUUGAAAGCAAUAUAGACUAAUUAUGCAUAAAUCAAAUAUGAUCUAAGCUAAAUAAACACAAUCACAUGCAAAGAAAGUAUAAAUCACAUGCAAGACUAAUGAAUUUAAACUUACCAAACCAAAUUAAAGCCAAUUAACCGCAAAGGAUUGAACUUUAACUACCCCUAAUUAACUUUUAAGACAUGCAAACAAGCUAUUAUUAAACUUAAAUUAACCUAGGAACAUGCAAUUAGACCUAAACAAAUCAAAUCAAACCAAGAUUGAACCAAAUUAUGCAAACCAAAUGCUAUUAACCCUAAUCACAUGCAAUUCAUGCAAGAACUAAUCAAUAACCAACUAUUAACUGAAUCAAGUAACAUAUAGUAAACUCAAAGAUAAAUCGAAAUCAACCUAUACUAUGACCUGAAAUCGAUAUAAUUAGGAAAGCAUGCAAACCUAAAUUAAUCAUGCAAUAGAAUAUGCAACUAAAACAAUUUUAAACCUAAUCAUGCAAACCAUGCAAACAUGAACCAAUAUUAAACUUUAAAACAUUAACCGAGUGCUUUAAUAUAAAUGAAACUUGCAAUUAAAAGAAUGAGAUGAAAAUAGAAUGUAAAUCGCAAUAAUGAAGCCAGAAUUAUGGAAGAAUGCAACUUGCAUUAAGCAAUAAUCAAAAUCGAAAUCAAUUGUAAAUCAAGAACCACAAACCGAAAUUGUUUUAACCAAGAUAACAAAUUAGAAAUUAAAUCCACUAGAAACUGAAUGUAAAAUUUCUCAAAUAAAACUUUAUUGAAUUGAAAACUUUAAAGAAAGUUGCAUAAACUGAAAUUGAAAAGAACAGAAAAUUGAAAGAACAAACAAAACUUUAAACAAAAUGAAGAACAAGAAAUUUAAAGCAUGCUAAAGAAAGCUAUGGUUAGUCUGUCAUUCCAACCACUUACACACCUUCCUAAGAUCUAAAACAAGUAUUUAUGGACUAAAGAAUCCAAUAGUGUUUGGCUGAAUUUGAACUCUCCCUUGGCAGCUCACAAGUUUGGUUAAAAAAGGAAUUCUUGAUGAGAAAAAUUCUUUUGAAGCACUAAAAGAAAAUGAAAAAUUAGUUGCAGUUUUUUAGCAGCGUUUCACUUUAAAACACUGCUAACUUUCGUGUUUUUUAAAGGUCGCAACAUUUUUUAUCAAAAUGUCACUAAAUAUUUAAAUAGCAGCAUUUGUACUGACAAACGCCAUUAAAGAUAGAAAUUAGCAGCGUUUAGCCACUAAAAUGUCGCAAAAUAAAAUACAAGAAUUAAUUAAAUAUAAAUAUAAUUUUUUUGUGGUGUUUUUAUAAGAAAUGCCAUUUUAUUUUGGAUCUAGACUAAAAAUGCAAAAUUUAAAAAUUUUAGUGAUGUUUUAGUUAAUAAACACCGCUAUUAAAAAAAUAGUGGCAUUUUUUUUAAAUAAACGCCAUUGAUUUUCCUCCAAAAUUGAAACCACGCCUUUUUUCCCCAAAAUUCUCUGUGCUCAAUUUUCUUUCAUUUCCCAUGCCUUUUUCUUCUUUAACCCAUUCUCACCGCUAUUAUCAUGAUUCUUCUGCCUCUUCUUUGUCUUAUUUUAAAGCCGACAAUGCCUUUAAGCUGCCAUGGUGGCUUUAAAAAAAAAAGCAUUUAAUUACAAAAAUCGUUGCCCUCGAUGGUUAAUCCGAUGGAAAAAGCUCUCUCCUUGAAGCUUUACUUGGAUUUUGUUUCAAUGUGUGUAAAGUCAAGAUAGGUACUCGUUGACCUUUCAUUUUGUAGAUGGUUCAUGACCUUUCUACCCUUGAGCCUCGUUGUUGCUUUUAGGUGGUUUGUUCUUUUUUUUUUUUGAGUGAAUUUUUUUUUUUUUUUUUUUUUUGCUUUGUUUGGUUUUAGUUUAAUGCAUUUUAAGGAUUUUUUUUUGGUUUUUUAUUUUUCUAUUUCUUUUGAAAGUUUUGUGCUAAUGUUAUUAUUUGCUAAAAUAAGGUUUUUAUUUGGGUGUAUAGGUUGUCAUAUGAAAAAAAUAAAAAUUAGACUUGGAUUGUUUGAAAUCUUGUAAUAUAAUAAUUUAUUUAUGAAUCAAACACUACAAGAAAAGUGAUUUUUAGGAACCAUAUUUUGCAACAACACGAAAAAUCGUUGUGAUAUAUUUGUGUAUUUACAAUGACAUUUUAUAAUUGUUGCUAAAUUGAAUUUUUAAAUAUUUUAUACAAUGAUAAAAUUUAUCAUUGUGAAUUUAUCUACUAUUCGUAGCAACAACAAAAAGUUGUUGCGAAACCUUAUUUUAUUUGCAACGAUUUUUCGAAGUCAUUGGUUAAGUUACUUUUAAAUCUUUUAUGCAACAACAAAAAAUUUAUUACGAAAAAUUUUAUUAUAUUUUAAUGAUAACAAAAAAUUGUUGCGAAUACUUUUUUUAUUUGAAAUGAUUUUUUAAAGUCGUUGCUUUAACUAUGUUUUAUUAUUUUAUACAACGACAAACAAAGUUGUUACAAAAAAUUUUAUAUUGUAACAACAAAAACAAAGUUGUUGCAUAAAACUUGUUUAAUUUUGAAACCAUUUUUUAAUGUCUUUACUUAAGUUAUUUCUUAAUAUUUUAUAUAAUGAUAAAAAUUGUUAUUACAAAAACUUUUAUUAUAUUUGUAACAUAAAAACUUAUUGUUGCAAAAACUUAUUUUAUUUAUAAUGAAUUUUCAAUGUCGUCUCCUUUUUAUAAUAUUUUAUACAACAAUGAAAAAUUUGUUGCAAAAACUUUUAUUAUAUUUAUAACGAUAUUUAUUUGUUUUCGAGUCUUUGAAUGAUCAAUUGAAAGCAUCUUUUUGAACUCAUAAAAUUAAUUGGACAAUGCAAACUAUAUAUGUUUUUUAUAGUGAGACGGAAAAAAAAAAGAUUUAAAGUCUAAACAUAGAAUCAAUGGUAAUCUAUUAUCAAUGUAAUUUUAUGCUCUUCUUAGUAUUAGUAUUUCUUUUCUAGAAAUUUGUUUGGAUUAGUAUUAUUAAAUUAAAAUUAUGAUUAAUACAAAUGAAAUAAAAAUAAGCAAUAAGUCAACUCUUUUUCAAUUAGCAUGGAUAAAAAAAUAGAAAAAAGAUAUUCAUGGCUAAAGACAAAUUUUAUUUACUUCAUUUAAUAAUUUAAAAUGAUUACUUUUUUGAAAUUAACCAAAUAAAAACAUGACUAAAGACAAAGUUAAGCUUAUUUAUUUCCUUUAUAGUGCCAGCCACAAGGUACGAUGAGUGUUUUUUUAAAGUAAGUUUGAAAUUUUAUUUCUUUUGGUACUUUUAAAUUUCACAUGAAAUAGAUUGUUGACUUGAAUUUUGAAGGAGGAAGAGUCUCAAAUGGGUUGGAGAUUUUUUAUGGAACCUGAUAAAUUUUGGUGUCAAAUCAUGUAGAAAAAUGAAAUUUUAUUGUAACAAGGAAUGUUGUGAUAUAGAGUACUGGUAGGUGAUUAAUUUAAAGUAUUCAGAUACUACAUUAGAGAUUUUUAAAGUUCAAGUAUCACAUUAAAAUUUUACUAUAAUUUAAAAGUCAUUUAUGACAUUAAUCCAAGAUAAAAUAAUACAAGACACUUAGGAUGUGUUUGGUACAAAAGAUUAUGACAAAAUAGAAUAACAUGAUAUUAUCAAUAAGUUUAGAUUAAAUAACGUCAUUAUAUAUUGAGUUUUAUGUGUGCAAAGAUUAAAAUAUGAUAAUUUAUUUAUUGGUCAAAAUUAUUCCUCUUUAAAAUUUAUACAAUUUAAAUUAUUGAUGUAAUUUUUAAGGAUAUAAUAUUACAUAUAAGUUCUUACAUGUCCUAUUAUAAUAUCAUUUAUAAUAUAUGUUUGGUACAUAAAAUUAUUAUAGGAUAGGAUAGGAUAUGAUAGGAUGAUGUUAUUUAAUUUAAUUUUAUUAAUAAUAUCAUCUUUUUUUUCAUAAUCUUAAGCACUAAGGGUGUAUUUGGUGCAUAAGAUUAUGAUAGGAUCAGAUAAAAUAAUAUUAUUUUUAACAUUAGAUUAAAUAAUGUCAUACUAUCUUUUAUUUGAUAUAUGCAAGGAUUAGGAUAUGAUAAUUUAUUUAUUGGUUAAAAUUAUCUCUCUUAAAAAUUUAUAUAAUUUAAAUUAUUAAUGUAAUUUUUAAUGGUAUAAUAGGACAUGUAAGUUCAAUCCCAUGAAUUAAAAAUAAUUCUCUUUACUUUGGGACUGAAUCAUCCUAUACUAAAAGAAUGAUUAAUUUUUUUUACAAUCAUAUUCCUUUCUUUAGAUACAAACCAAGCAUGAUAUAAGAUUAUUAUUAUUAUUAUUAUUAUUAUUAUUAUUAUUAUUAUUAUUAUUAUUGUUAUUAUCCUAUCCUAUCUAUCAUCUUAUACAUCAAACAUGACCUAAACACAUCCAUAAUAUAAGCCUUUAAAGAAAAAUAUUGACCAAUUAAUUUUCCAUGUGUGUGUGUGUGUGUGUGAGUUGUUAGUCUUUUAAUUCUUGAGAUGGAGACCAUUGAUUCCUUAAUUUUAUUGAAAUUUUCUCUUCUUUAAUUAACAAAAAAAUCAAAAUAAAUAGACUUUUUUUAAAAAAUAAAUUAAGUCAAGUUAUAUUCUUAUAAUUUUUUUACUUAUCUUCUCAAGGGACAUUUUGACUAAUACCAACAAAAGAUAUUUGGUACUUGUAAAUAACAAUUAUUUUAUAUUAAAAUAUGUAUAAAAAAUUAUAUUAAAUUAAGAUAUUUGACUGAAUUUGACAUUAUAAAAUGAUAUUAAUUUAAGUAGAAAAAUUUUUAAAAUAGGGUUUGGAUUUAAAUAAUAUUUAAAUUCAUUGUAGUGGUUUUUUAUUUUUAAUAAUUUUAUGUUUAUUUAUUUUAUUUUUAAUAUUUAAAUAUUUGUAAAUUUUAAAUUUUAAAUAAAUAAAUCAUUUGUUAUUUCAUAGACAAUAAAAAAUGCAUAAAUUUAGUUACAUUAAAAGAUUGUAUUUUAAAAGUUAUUUUUUUAUCAAUUCUUUUAAAAAUUGUUUAAAAAACACAAAUUAAGAAAAAAAAAAGGAUGAUUCAUGCGAAUGAAAGUGUGGAUGUUGGUAAGCCGACCCCUAUUAACAACUGGCUGUCGGGGAGAGGUCUCUAUAACCCACUAUACAUGACUUACCACUCUGUUCCCUUCCCCCUCUCUUUCUUAUAAAAUCUCUAAACAGAAUGCCCAUCGUGUUCUUCAUCGAUCAAGAAUAAAAAAAAAUCAUAAACUACUACUAUAGCAUAUUUAUCCAAAAUUCCAAUCUCUCUUUCAUUUUCCUUCAUCUUGCAUUUCCUUAUUUCCUUCUCCUUUUGGUUGCAUUUGUUGUAUUUUUACUCACAAUUCUCUUUUUUUUUACCUAUUUUUAUCAAUAUAUCUCUAUAUAAAUAAAUUAGUAGUUUUUUUUCUGGUUGGUGAGUUUACGUAGGUAGGUGUGAUGUAAAAAAGAUGGGGCUAAUUCACAAAAGGAAGAGUUGAGAUUCAAAUGCUAUUAGCUUUUUGUUCGAAUGCAAGGAUCUGCUGGUGGUAAAAUUGCCUUUUCUCUUUCUUCCUUCAAUUCAAAUUAUUUCAUUUUUUUAAAUUUUUUAAAGAUUAAAGAAAGGAGUUAUAUUUAAUUUAAUAAUCUAUGUUUCGUGCUUGGAUUGGAUUUUGUCAUUGAUAAGGGAAAAAGGCUAAUCAUUUUGUCAAUGCUAAAAGAGAGUCAGAUUAAAAUGUAAUUUUUUUUAGAAUUGCCUUACUGAUUUUUCUUCGUUUCAAGUAUUUGUCUAUUUAAGUUUUCUACAGGUAGAUCUUCUAAUUUGAUCUAAAUUUGCUUUUAUUUGUUAUUCAGGUUCAUUUAUUUAAUUUCUUUCAUUAAAUUAUUAAUCACUUCAGAGAACUCCGGUUACUUUCCAAAAUUGGAAUAAAUAUUUAUUUUUUAAGGGAUAAAAAUUUAGCUAGAAAUGAGUUAAUGCAUUUUAAGGUUCUUUUGGUUACUACUUUGCUAUUGUCUUAUAAGAAUGCCUACCCAUCUCAAUAAUUUUGCAAAGCUUAUAAGUGGGAAUUGAUUUUUUUACUAAUAUUCCCUUUGGCGAUGAUCUUUAUCCCGGUGGAAAAAUGGUUUAUGGGAUAGGCUGGCUAAUGUACUUGUGAAAUAAUAAUAUGCAAAAAUUUUAGAUGUAAGCAUGUUUCACUACAUGGGGUUAGGUUUUUAAUGGCAUUUUUUUUCAUGUUUAGCAGUAUUUAUAAAUGCCAUAAAAAGAUUAGCAGCGUUUGCUAAAAAUGUCGCUAAGAGUGUCGACGAUACCUGCGUUGGAAAAAAUAGCGACUACUAACUUAGUGCCAUUAUAGUAGAAAAUGCCACUAAAUUUAGCAGCGUUUAUAGUAGAAAACACUGCUACAUGUUGGUAUUUAGUGGCAUUUUUAGGCACAAAUGCCAAUAAAUUAUGAAAUUUAUUUUUUAAAAAUUUUCUUUUAAUAUUGAUUAUUAUCAUUAAAUAAAAAAUAUUAAAAGAAAUAAAAAUGAACGUAAAUUUAUAAACUGAAUAUUAUAAAUACAUAAUUUAUUCUAAUAUGGAUGGAACACAAAGUUUAAUACAUUCAAUAACAUUCAAAUUAGAUGAAAGAUUUUUCCUACUUUGGUCACUAGCGUGCUCAAGAACCUAUUGACUUAAUCUUAACUUUUGCAUCCAACUUUUAUCAUUUAGUACUUGGCUACAUUAUCAUACCAAAAUUAUAUAAUUAAAUUAGAUGAAAAUGAACUAUAACAUACUUAAUUAUACUAAGUAUUAAAUCAAAAAUAAUAACAAGAUGAUAUAAGAGAUAACCUAUUACAAUGCAAAAAAAAAAAAAAAAAAACCUAUUAUGUGUCAUGCAUUGAUAUCAUGUUUUUUAAACAAUGUAAAAAAAGAACAGAGAUAACAUCAACAAAAAAUUUAUACAAAUUUUAAUUGAAUAUUCAUACAUUUAGAAACCAACAGUGUAACAGAAGAAGAUUAAGUAUGUGGCAAAUACUUUACCUUGCAAUAUUCACAAAUGACUAUAGAUUUUUUUUUUUUUUGGUUCUUUAUCUUCUAUUGUUGAUGGUUUUCAUGCACAAUAAAUCCUUUCAAGUAAGAUUAAGUCGUUUCAUUAAACACCAUAAUCUGAAAAAAUAAACAAAACAAAUGCCAAGAUGAGAUGAAAAAAAAAACAUAAUAGGCUAUUUCAGAAUGGUUUCCUAAGGAUAUCUUAAAUGAAUUAACAAAUUCAUGUUAACAAGUAACAAUUUUUUAGUAAUUUCAAAAAUAUUCUAAUAAAAAAAAACUAAACCUAAAAUUUCAUUCAUUUUUGUAACUAAAUUCAACGUUCAAUUUCAAGUUUUUUAGAUAAAAACUCUAUUUUUUCACUUUUUAUUCUAUCUUGAAUUUUUCUCACCAACAAAAUAAAACCAAACUCAGAACUGCAAUAAUGAAAUAAAUUGGCAAAAAAAGAAAAAAAAUGGCCAAAUACUAAAAAUUGUCAAUGUUGAAAUGGAGCUUAUCAAUGUUGAAAUGAAGCUUACCAAUGGAGAAAAACACCUUUAAUAAUCCCCCUCAUUUUUUUUUUUUUGGAUUAUUUAAGGUGUUUCUAGCCAAAAGCAUCUUGAAUAAUUUCUUACAAAAAUUAAAUAGGGUUAUUCAAUGCAUUUUUGGUCAAAAAUACCUUCAGUAAUUCUCUUUAAUUUUUUGAAGGGAUUAUUCAAGAUGUUUUUUACCAAAAAAUGCCUUAAAAAACAUUUUUUUUAUUUUUUCUUAAGAUUAUUCAAGGCAUUUUUGGCUAGAAAAUACCUUGAAUAAUCCCCUUACAAAAAAUUGAAUGGGAUUAUUCAAGGCGUUUUCUGGUUAAAAACAUCUUGAAUAAUCCCUUUUUUUAUUUUUUUGGAUUGUUCAAGGCUUUUUCUGUCAAAAACGGUUUCAAUAAUUCCCUUUCACUUUUUGAGAGGAUUAUUUAAGGCGUUUUUUGCUAGAAAACACCUUGAAUAAUCCUUUACAAAAAAUUGAAUAAAGUUAUUCAAGGUGUUUCUGGCCAAAAAUUAGAAGGGAUUAUAAAAAUGCCUUUAAUAAUCUCUUUCAAAAAAUUUUUUGAAUUAUUCAAGGUGUUUUUAGCCAAAAAAUCCCUUGAAUAAUCCCUUAGAAAAAAUUGAUCAGGGUUAUUCAAGGCGUUUUUGAUGAAAAAUGCUUUGAAUAAUCCCAUUCAAUUAAAAGUCAAAGUAUAUAGCAGCAUUUAGGUCAACAAACACCACAAAAAUAUAUUUUUAGUGGUGUUUUAUGAAAAAACGCCACUAACCUUAUAAAAACAUGAAACUUAUGGCAUUUAUUUAAAAGGUCACUAAAAAAUAGUCACUAAAUCUCCAUUUUCAUGUAGUGUUUUUAGAUUUUAAUUAGGGCAAAGGCUUUUUAAAGAAAGUUUGAUGACAUUUUCAUUAUACAUUACUUUCGCAUUUUAUUGUCUUGGUUUGUGCAGUUUCCUCAUUUACUUAUAGGUAUUUCCCCUUUGAUAAUGGGUGCUAGACCCUUACAUGGUUUUUGAAUUCAAAAGUAAAGGAUUUACCCAUUUGGUUUAGUGGUUUUUGCUUUGUAAGUUUGAUGGCCUCCAGCUUAAAUAAGUCAGUAUAAAGAAAGCUUGUAGUCAAAUAUUUUGUUGCCUGAGACCUAUUCCUAGAUUGAAAAGAUCUUUUAUGGGGUGAGACGUAGGGGUGAAUAUGGCUUUGCUUUUCAAAUAUUUAAGGACAUGGAUGAGACACAAAGUGAUGAUGGGCCAGUAGAGCAGGGGCCUUCUAGUGCAACAUGGUGGUCUUCAGAUUUUCUUGAAAACUUUGGUUUUAUUUUUUUAAGUUCUCAUAAAGAGAGUUUGAGUAAUAGGGAAUCACCUAGAAAUUUUGAGUAAGAUGGAUUGUUAUUUAGCAUCACAGAUUUUGUAAAGUAAUGGAAUUUUUUUUAAGCCAAUUCCAAAUGGUUUCUAUUUUGUCAUUCCGAUAAGGAUUGACUUAUCUUGUUUGUGAUUAAUUAUACUAUACUUGCUGCUUAACUAUUUCUAUUCUUUGAUUGAAACUAAGUUUUAUAAGAUAAUGUGUUCUUACUUUCUUCCUUAUCUUUCUCUAUUAUUUCUUCUUAUUUAUAUUGAAUUUGAAUAGUUAUUGUUUUAUAGCUAUUUAAUUUUACCCUUAUUGUUAGUUUGAAAGUGCUUUCUAAUUUUUUUCGCCUUCCUUUUCAAAGAUAAAUACUCAUAUGCAUUUUGUGUCUUUUUUUCAUUUUGAAGCUUAAUUUCAUCUUUAAAACAUUCAUAUGAAUAAUUUUUAUGUCCUUAAUUUAUUUGAAAAAUGGAACUAUUAAAUAUAUUUGAUUUUGUAAGCCAGUUGUAUUGACAGGUGUAUGAGCCUUAUAUAUUUCAACUUUUUUUCUUGUAUUUCCUUUAUAUAUUUGAAGUACUCACAAAGGCAUUCUAUUUUCUUUUCUUUUCUUUUACUCGUUGAAAUAAGAAGAUAAGGAACCUAUGUUUGAUAGCGUUAAGACCAUUAUAGGCAUGGUUAAAGUUUUAGCAAAGUUUCUUACAAUAUUACCUUCAAUGAGAAAAGAAUACGAAAGACUUUACCAAUAGACUAUCUUAAUUAUAUGUAUAUCUAAAGAAAUCUUCACAUUGAUAUUGCUCAUUACAAGGUAUAAGCUAUAAAAAGAGCCCAUGGUAUGCAUUUCUCUAAAGAGUUAGUAAAACUUUUGGCCAAUUUUGCAAAGACUAACUAUCUGUAAUACUUUAAAAUAUAAUUUCUAUUUUUCUACUUAAUAAAUUAUAUACAGAAACUUUGUAAGUGGCUAGUUCAACUCCUUAUAGAACUUGAUUACUUGCAUGCCAACCAUAUUGUUCAUCAUGAUAUCAAGGUCAAUGUUAAUUCUUGGUAAAGAUGAAAAAUUUAAUGUAUGCAAAUUUAGGACUUACAGCAUUUUAAAUUAUAAUUUUAUUUCACUGCUAAUAUAUAUUCUUGAUAAAAGAUCAAGACAUAUGUCUAAUCAGUCCUCUUUUUGUACCUACUUUUCAUGAUUUACUUUGCUGCUCUGUUUACCAUGUGUCAAUUGUCCAUCAUUCUGUAUUUUAAACAUGGUGAGUUGCUAAAAUGUGCACCUAUGUAGGUGACUUUAGUCUUGCUAAGAUGUUGACUUCUAAUGACAUUGCUUCAUCUGUGAGUAUCAAAUUGAUGGUAUGGUUUAUACAGUUUCACGAUUUGUUUUAUUUUAAUACUAUAGUUUCUUCUUGGCUUUAAAUAUACUGGUUAUGAGAACUCUUAGUUAUAUGUGCCCUGAGCUACCUAUUGAUAUGCCUUGUAGUUCUAAGUUAAAUAUUUGGUCUUUAGGUACUUUGCAACUAUUGAGAUUCGAGGAAAAUCUACGUUUGAUCACUGUUUCUUGAGUUUUUUCAAACUUGAUAGGAGAACUCUAUGUGUAAGAACAAAGGAUGUUUAAUGAUUGCAUGUACACAUAGCUGCUUGCUAUCAUUGGUUUAAUGAGCAAAAGUUUUUGUAACAAUAAAUAGUGUUGCUAAUUUUAACUAAAGUUGUCACAAAGAAAUUAAAGCUUUGUGCAACGAGAUGAAUGUAAUUGUGUAAUGUUGUUUUGGUAAAAAUAUUAGUUGUUUUCAAAGUCAAUAAUAUUAUUUCUAAAUCUUUAUUAACUAUUAGUAACAGUAUAAAAGUUGUUGUAAAAAAAAUAUUUGUAUAAAGAAUUUUGGUUGAUAAACAAGAUGAAUGUUGUUGUGCAAGGAUUUUUUUGGCAACUAUAAUAGUCAUUUCUAAAAUUGAUCAAGUCGUUAAUAAAUAUUUAUUUAUUAUUUUUAACGACACAAUUAAUGUUGGGAAAAGAUUAUUUACAACAUUAAUAUUGGUUUUUAAAUAUCCUUAAGUUAUUGUAAAAUUAAACAAAAACAAUAAAAUUGUUGUUUUGUAAGAACUUUUGACAACAAUUUUUGUCCUUUUUAAAUUAAUUAUUGUGGCUAUAAAAUAAUUGUUGCAAAAAAAAUUCACAACCAAAAAUAUUCUACUGCGAAAAAAAUUUAGACAACCAAAAUAAUGUUGUUAUGUAGAAGUUUUUGUAACAAAAUAUGUGGUUGCUAAAUAAAAGUUUUGAAAGCCAUAUCAAGUCAUUUAAAUAUUAUUUAUUUACCAACAACCAAAAGUAGUUGCAAAAUAUAUUUUUUAAAAUGACUUUCAAAAUGAUGAAAUUGUUGUAUAAACUUUUAACAAUGAAGAUACGUGUAAUGACCUUACAUCGACUUUUUUACAUUACGAAAAAAUUUUAAAAAUGAUAAAUUGUCAUUUACCAAUGAUAUUGAGUGAUGCUAAAACUACUUUUUCUAAUAAUGAUAUAUUGUUUGAAAAUUUCUUAACAGGCAAAAAAGGAAGAACUAAAGAACAAACUUGAGGAAAUUCAUUCUAUGGUGAAGUCACUAGUUAUUGUUCCUUCAACAGAGUAGUGUAGAAUAAUGCAACCCACUUAUCUUCCUACCAAUGAGAAUCUUAUGGAGCUUCUCAUUAUGGUUGAUGCUUAUCAAAAGGUUUCUGCUAAGAAUAUUAUUAUCGUCAUUCCCUAUUUUGGCUAUGCCAAGGCUGACAAAAAGGUAAUUCUUCCUAUUUUAGCACAAUUACACAAAAUUAGUAUAUUUGGCUAUAUUAUUUUGCUUGCUUUGAAAACUUACUAUUACUAUCAGAGUCCUUGAUCUAAAGGAUUUCAACUUUAGAUUUUCAGUUCAAUUAUUAUUAAUUCCAUUUCUUGGAGUUGUGAAUUCUAUGUGAUAAAAUUCUCUUCAUUUUGGUUUUAAUUGUAAAUUCUAUGCCUUUUAUUGUUGUUCUAAACAAUGAAAAAUAAUCUAAUUCUAUUUGAUUCAUAUUUAUUUCAAAAAGAGCUAAUUGAAAUAUAAAAUGAAUUUAGUUGAAUUAUUUCCCUUGGAAUUUGGUUAUUCAAAUACAACACAUUGACUUUUUAAAACUUUUAAAAACUCCAUCAUACCAUGAAAUCCCUGGAUAAAGAAAUAUAAAAGAAAUGAUAUCAUUGCCAAGUAUGAAAAUUUAAGAGUCCUAAAUAUGACAAAAGCACAGGUUUAGUUAAUAGCUUUACUCUGUAUAUGCAUUUUUCAUUGGACUCAUAAAUAUUGCUUUAUUGGUUAUAAUCAUCCACUGUUCUUUUAGACUCAAGGGCAUGAAAAAUAUUAUUGCCAAACUCAUAGCAAAUUUUAUUACAAAAGAGGGUGCAAAUUAUGUUCUUGCUUGUGAUCUUCAUUCUGGGUAAUCCAUGGGUUAUUUUGAUAUCCCUGUGGAUCAUGGUUAUGGUUGGUAAUUAACCUAUAUUAUCUAUAUUCCUGUGAUGUUUUAUGUUAACAACACCAUUAAACUCUUAGUUUCAUCUUCCAUUAUAGUUAUAGGCACCUCACUAAAGCUUGCAACUCCCAUAUAAACAUCCUAUAAAGCAUGCUGAUCAUUCUUUAGCAUAUCCUAUGUAUCCAUUUAUCCUAUGCAUCCAUUCUUUCUGGUGUUAAAUGGGAUUGAAUUUGGGGUAUCCAGUUUGAUUCAUGCUAGCAAUGGGGUGCAAAGAUCAUGUUUCAUACAAAUAGAUGGGCUAUCAAAGGAAUAAAAGAAAAUGAUUUCGAAUCCUUACAGAACAAAAGUUAUAAGGAUUAGGAGAAAGCUGGCACGACAGUGAAGCCUUAGUUUGCAAAUAAGUCUUUUUUAGGGGCUUCAACUCAAGUAAAUGCAAGAAAACUAACCAGCUUUGGUGUUGACAUUGAUGUGAAUAAUAAUUAUGAUACCAAAAGUGAUCUAUACAUGUUUUGCACAACAAAUAGCAAAAUGAGUUUUGAUAAGCAUUCAUCAUUGAUUUUAGAUUUUUUUUCCUUAUCAGUUAAUGAUGUUGGGCAUAUUGUCUUCAUAUUAUUGACUAAUGAUGAGAUUGUUUUAACUUAUGAUUUAGAGAUUGAAAAUGUUGUUGAAAAAAGAGUUAAAGAACAGCAAUGUUGUGUCCCUUCAAAGAAUUGUCCUUUCAAAGGUGAGGUUUACUUGAUCCAUGAGAAGGGUAUUCUCAAGGCCUAUUUUUCCAUCUCUAAUCUUACUUGUUUGGUUUUAGCUCUAUAUAUUCUUUUUUAUUUACCUUUCCUUUAAAGAUAAGUGAAAUUUGAAAGAAAAAAAAGAAGUAAAAGAGGCAACCAAUAACUAUCCCUUCAUUUGCUCUUAUUGACUUAUGUACCAUUGUUGUCAUCUAGAUUGCAAUAACUAAUCAAUCCUUUCUUGACUUCUCGAAUCUUGUACUAAAAAAAAAAAAUAGUAAAAGGAAAAAGAAAAAGGUAGAAGUAUUGUGAAGGAAUUAUUUUGCAUGUUGAUUUAUAUUUUAUAAAUCUUAUCAUUUUUUUUAUCCAUUUUCUUUUCCUCCUAUGUUCUCUAAAAAUAUCAUAACUUGUAAUUUAAACCAAAAGGAGGUAAAGGUAAAUCUUCCAACCCUCUCUAAUAAAUAGGAAAAUAACUCUAAGUUUGAUAUGCCUAUGAAGUGUAAUUUUAACAUGACAUGCCUAUAGUAAUUGUUCAUAAGGUGUGAAAUGCAACUUUAACAUGAUAUGCCUAUAGUAACUGUUCUUAGCCUCAAUUUUUUUUCUUUCAUUUUUUUAUGAAAUCCAACUUUAUUCACAAUACUGGAGUAGAGGAUGUACAUUUCACUUGAUUGGAUAUGUUCAAAUUUUUGUUUCAUUUUACUCAUUUAUUUUCCAUUAAAUCAGUCCUUAAGUAAUACCUAUCAAUCUACUAUAGGUAAGCAAGCAAUGGGUAUAUAUGUUACUAACUACCAAUUUUCAAAUGGUAUGUAUGUCUUCCUAUUUACAUGAUUAUAACUUUAUCAUACUUGAGAAAUUUCAAGAUGAUUUAUCCUCCAUGUGGUACUCAAGAUACAUUAGCCUAUGUUCUUUACUAUCCUUAAAGGCCAUUUGUUACUACACAAGCUAUGGAACAUUCCAUUUUUGAGCUAAUACUAUGGUAAGAACUAAGCAUGGCUUCAUUUGUUUGUUGCUUUUUGGCAUUUCAAAAGUUACUAAUAUAAUGUAAAACCAAAUACUAGUAAUUCAAUUUAAAAUAUGCAAAUGGUUCAAAUGUGAAACUAAUUCAAACAUAAUUCUUUUAUUAAAAGAGUAAAUUAUGUGUUUUGUUUUGCAAGGGAUGAAAGUUGAAAUUUUAAUUUUUGAAAAAAUAUUAUUGUUUUUAUAUCUAAAUGCACUUUUAUACUUUUUCUUAAAAAAAAAAAUCAACCAAAUGAGCUCAUAUUAAAUCUAAGCUUGAGUAAUACCAUGGAAAAAAGUAUUGGCAUGGAACAUGGAUUUAAAACCAUUCUUCAGAAUAAUUAUAUUUAAAACACUAAUUAAUUUUAUUUCUAGACCUUUUAUUUAGAAUUGUAAUGCUAAUACGUUUAAAUAUUAAUUUUUUUGCUUUACUCAUUUUAAUAAAUUUUAAAAGAAAUAUUUUGGCAUCCUUAAUAAAGAAAAAAAAUUACAUGUAACAACCAUUCAAAAUGUAAAAAAAUAUAUAAUAAAUUGGAUGAAAUGUUCAUGUUCUUAAGAUAUUAUAAAUAAAAUUUACGUAGCUAAUUUUUUAGAAUUAAGUUCAAAAAUGUUGUUAUAAUAUAUAUAUAUAUUUAAGUUUGAUUUGAUUUAAGUAAAUUAAUUUGGUAAUUUUAAUUCAUUGGAUAUGUAGUACAAUUUGGAAGUUAGAAAUUUCAGAGAAAAUAAUUACAAGAUAUCAUAAAUCAAGAGAUACAAAAAAUAAACCUUACUUGUUACUUGAUAUAAUCUGUCUAUAUAUUGAUAACUUGAUCAUUUAUUUGAAAUUGUGCACAAUUUAAUAGUGAUAAUUCAAUUAAUGUAAGAGUUUAGUGACAAAUGAGAAAUGGAUCGUUACAUGAGUGCAGGCGGAUAUUUUAGCGGAAAUACUCAACCAUUUUUCGUAAUAUUGCCAAAGGACAGAAACAUCAUUUCAAAUAAUGAAUUACAAAUGCAAAUAUCCUAAAUGGAUGUUGUAGGUUUACAUCAAAUUGAAACAAAUUAUGUAUUUAAAAAAAUAAAAAAACGUAAAUUUCCUAAUUCAACGACAUUUAUGCAUACAAAUACUACUAAAUUUAGCGACGUUUAUGUCAAAAAAUAUUGCUAAAUUUAAAGGCAUUUUUCAUAACAAACGCUGCUAAAUUAAUGGUGUUUUUUCUUAAAACGCCAUUAUUUUCCAUGAUUCAAGCAUAGCUGACACUUUUAGCAUUAUUUUUGGCAAAUAUCGUAAAUCAUUUGGCAACAUUUAUAAACACUGCUAAAUGUGAAAAAAAUAUGCCGUUAAAAACCUAUUCCCCUAUAGUGAAGUGAAUCUUAGUUCAAUUAAAUUGAAUCUCUUUCAAGACUCUUCUAUUUGAGACCACAAACAUCUUCAUUCCUUAUUAUGUAGCAUCUUCUAGAAUGGAAAAAAAGAAGAAAAACAAAAAAACUCACAAACCAAAAACUUGGUUGGACUUUAGAUGUACAAACCUUCUAAAAAGACUUGACUUUGCAUGCUUUUGAACCUUUUCUUGUAUCCAUGACUUGGCAUUCUUCUUGGAGAAAAUUAAGAGAUUUUCUUCAACUAAAACUCCUACUUUGCCGCCCAUAAUCAAUGCUCCUUUUAUAUCAUGCAAAAUCAUACUCCAAAUAGAAAUAGAAAUACAAUCCUACUAAGAACAGGAAAUCCAAGUCCAACUGGGAAAAAUCAAGGGUUGUUUAGUCUUUCGUCAUAUAAACAAAAUUGACACCCCAUCAUAUCAUAUAAGCUUCCAAAUAAUCUUUCUUAACCAAUAAGAUUUGCUACUAUAUCAUCCAUUAGUAAUCCCAUGCAUGUGUACUUACAUAAGCUACCAUAGACUUGCAUUCACUUAAAAUUACAAUUAUACCUCUUUUAUUGCCAAACAUGCCUUACUUGUUUCUUGCAUGAAUUUUCUCCAUUUUCCAUCAAGAUUGAGCAAUUUCAACUCCUUUAAAUUUGGCAAAACCAAUCUUGAACAACUUCUAGUUCAAGAUUUCCAAAAAUUCUAAGACAAUAAAAAAUCACCAAGAACAUAUCAAAAAAUUUCAAGAUUCAUUCCAAUGCAUCAAGAAUCAUCCAAGAUUGAUUAAGAAUUAUCAAGAUUCUUCAAGAUUCAAGAAGAUUCAUUCUUUCAUGCAAGAUUUCCUACAAAAUAGAAAAUUAAGCACUUUAGGAGUAAAAAAAAUCAUCAUUUAGCUAAGAACUAACCAAAAACCACUCAAUUAAGCACUAAAAAUAACUAUAUUUUAUGGAGUUAUCACCAAGUUGUCUUGAAAAACCAAAAUACUCCUUACCCUAACUCUUGAAAAGAUAAUUACGUUUCCCUCUUUCUCACUUGAGCAAACUCACCCAAGAAACCAACCUUUUCUUUUCACCCUUUCUCUUAAAGGAAAGAACUUUCUUGCCUAACCAUGAUCGAUAUAGUAUUUUGCUAAACCAGAUCAAGUUUCAAAAAAAAUAGAGGUAAAACUCUAUAAUUAAAGUUUUCAAUAGAUAACCCGAAAACACCUCCAUAAUAUACAAGCAAAUCAAAACCACCAAGCUAUAAACAUCUCAAAUCACUCCAUCUCAUCUUUAUAUACUUGUCUGGCAUACAAUUAUCUAUAGCUAUGACAUUGAUUAAUCUAACUUCAACCAACUUUCCAAUCAUAAAACCAAUCAAUGGAGACAAUUCCAUGUUUCUAUGGCCGUAUUUCCAUUUUUGAUUAGCUUAAACCCAACAGAAAAAAUAACUUGAACUAAUAAUAUUUAAUUAAAAGCACAAACAUUUUAAUGUUGGUGUCAUAAUCAUCUGUUGAUCAUUAAGUCCCAAAAAACCACCUGUUAAUAUUUAGAACUUGAAACUCUAUCUUCAACGUGUUAAGUUUAAACCAUGCUUAACACUAUAUUUGGAUUGAAGGGUGGGGAAGAAAUGAAAAGGAAAAUAAAGGAAAACAAUGGAAAUAGAAAAACUUUUUUUUUAUUUAGAUAAACUUUUAAUUUAAAGAAAAGGAAAGAGGUAGAAACCCAAUAACUUUGGUUUUCCUUACAAUCUUUACUUUUUUAAUACCUUAAUUUAAGAAAAACCAAGGUAAAGAAAGUUGAAAAAAUUUUAUUUUUAUGAAAAGAUUAUUAUAUCUAUAUUUUUAUUAUAACAUUAGAUUUGAUUAUAUAGCCAACACUUUCUACAAAGAUAAUUUCCUUUUAUAAAUAUUUUAUGAGUUUUCAAGUCUUAACAAUAAAACAAGCAAAAUUAUUAUCAGAAUAAAUUAAAAGAUUGAAUUAAACACAAAAUUAAGAGUAAGUCAAUAAUUAGCUAAUAUAUUUUACUGCAUUAAACAUGCUCCAUUUUUUUCAAAAAGAUUUGCUUAUACAAAUUAGGUCGUAUAAUGAUAUAUUUGUAUAUUAUAUGUUACUUUAUUAAAAAAAUUAUAAUUGAAAAAAAAUAUUAUAAUGAAUUAUUUUAUCUCCUUUUCACUAUUUAUCCAAACAAUGGUUGUUAAAAUUUUUUUUUCCUCUCUUUUUUUAAUUUUAACUAUUCAAACAAAAGAUGCAUGUACCAUUUUUUUUCCUUUAAAAAAUUUUUUUUCCUUUUAUUUUUUUUCUUUAUUAAUAUUUAUCCAAAUAUAACGUAAAGCUUAAACAUAGUUGAUACCAAUAUGAAAAAGUAUAAAAUUUGAAUAUACUCUAGAAAAUUUUAAAUUUAUUGAAUCUUUAUUGUAUUUCAUAUAAUGUUUGUACUUAUCCUUACUAAUGUUAGGUUUAAGGCAAGUGAUUAUAUAAAAAUAUAUAUCUAUAUAUCUAUAUAUAUAUAUAUAUAUAAAUAAAGAGAUCAAAACUCAUGAAAAAUUAAGGAUGAAAAAUUUGUAAGUAUUGAAAAUUGAAUCUCAAUUUUAUAAGAAUUCAUUUCUUAAGAAAGAUGGGUGAACUAUUUAGACUAAGUCUUGAAUACAGGGCAAGUGGUUUUUACUUUUUAGCAAGUUUAUCUAUAUUUUUAAAAAUUAAAAAUCUAUAUUUGAAACAUUAUAAAUAUAUCCUAAUAAAAUAUGUGAUAAUCCUCUAAUACCCGGUGUGAGUUUUUUUUUUUUUUUAACAUAUUAUUAUGUAUUAGCAACCAAAUCUAGUCAGUGACAAUAUAAAUCAACAUCACCAGCGAUGAAAUUUGGUCAGGAAUAGAUCCCAUGUCGAAAAUAUUCUCUCUUGAAAGUUGAAACCAGUGGAUGAUUAUAAUUUUUCACAAAGGUAAAAUUCAAUAAAAAAUACUAUCUUUAUUUCGAGCCCAUUGAUAAGUUGUUGUUUCCAAGGUCAGCCUGUAAUGGAGGUAGAGUCCAAAACCCAACUCCCUAGACAAUUAGCAUACAACAAAAUUGUUUGAGCCUUUGGUCCAAAACCAAAUUGGCUUACAAAGUUAAACCUAACGAUCAGAUAUAAACACCCCAAAGUGCAAUCCAUGGAUCCAACAGAGAAGCGGAAACCUGAUGAGGCAGGCUAGCUAGCUAAAGAUAAGUGUGUUAAGACUCAUCUGCAUUAAACAAGUACGAAGAUGAUAGAAAUUUAGAGAACCUCUCAAAAAGGAUAAAAUUUCUGGAAGUCGUCAACCGAUUACAUAAAUUUCUUAGGAAUUAUUCAUGAAUUCCUUAAACAACCAUCAUAAUUAAACAAACCUUUGUAUUUGAGUGAAAAUAGGCGAGCAUGUGGAAAAUCAGUUGAAAACCCUUUCCCCAUGGCCAAAUAUAUAUCACAAGCUUCCCUGCUUCCUCAUUGUAGAUGCGUUCGUUGGUCUGAUGUUUGGAAACUUAUUGGAUGUCAGAUUGGACAGCUAACGUGGCCUGUCACAGAAAUAAAGUCAGGGGACGCUGGAAAUAAUACUACUAAACACUCUCUAAUGUUAAUGGUAAUCCAUUGCCAAGUCAUGCAGUGAAUGCUUUGAAUGGAGACAAAGAACGUAUAAAGAAAAGAGUGAAGGAGAUAAAAAUGCCAUUUAGUUAGUUGUAUGAUGCUCUGUAUGAGGCUAAUAUGGUACAACUAGUGGACCUAUGCAUAUAUCAUGAGAGAUGUGUCCCAAAUCAAAAGUGUAAAUACCACAAUGGGGCUCCAAGUCAUUCUAUUGAAACAUGCAAACAAUUUCAUGAUGAAGUGCAGAAGCUAAUGGAUUCCUACUAGAUCGAAUUGUAUGAAAAAGUAGAAACAUCAAAAAAUACUAAGUGGCUAUGACUAAGAAGUGGGUGCCAAAGUUCAUAACCAUACAUUGUGGUGAGAAGCUAAAAUCAGUCAUGGACAAACUUAUUCCUAACCUAGUGACUUUCAAAGUCUUAAGUCUAUUCCCUUACAAGGAUAAGAAGGUCAUACCAUAGAACUAUGGCUUUAAAGUGACGAUCUAAGGGUAGAAAGAAAUCAUGCCUAAGUCUGAUGCUGCCAACAUAACUGGUGCAGGUGGCAUAACUAGAAGUGAAAGAUGUUAUACUCCAAAGAUGCUAGAGAAAGCAAAGAAAGAGAAAAUGAUGGUGAUGGAAAAAUAGAGUGAACUAGAAUUGAUUCCAAAAAAAGACACCUUAAAGCCAGUGUUUGAUAAAAAAGUGUGUGAGCUAUUGAAGUUGGUAAAGCAUAGUGAAUAUUCUGUGGUUAUGUAAUUGAACAAGAUGCUAGCUAAAAUCUUUUUGUUGUCACUACUGUUAAAUUCAAAACCACACUACAACGCCUUGUUAAGGAUGUUAAAUCAAGCUUAUGUGGCACAUAACGUAUUUAUGGAAUAUGUGAACCAUCUAAUAGGAAACUUAGUGGUACCACACUAUAUAGCCUUUAGUAACGAUGAGAUUCCACCUAUAGGAAAGGGAAGCAUAAAGGCUCUGCACAUCACUGUUAAGUGUAAAUGUCAUACUAUAGCUAAAGUUCUUAUUGAUAAUGGUUCGGCUAUUAAUGUUAUACCCAUGUCUACUUUGGCAAGACUGUCCAUUGAUAUGUUUUAUAUAAAAAGCAAUCAUAUGGUGGUUCGAGCAUUUGAUGGGACUAGACAUGAGAUAUUGAGAAAUAUUAAGAUGCCAAUGCAAAUUAGACCUUGUAUCUUCAAUGUAAAGUUCCAGGUCUUUGAUAUUUUCUCAUCCUAUAGUUGUUUGCUGGGUAAGCUAUGAAUCCACAUGGCAGGUGUUGUUCCCUCCUCCUUAUAUCAAAAGGUCAAAUUCAUUAUAAAGGAUCAACUGGUGAUCAUGAUGGGAGAAGAGGAUUUGUUAGUAACCUGGCCUAUGAAUGCUCUAUAUAUAGAAACGACAGAAGAAUAAUUUGAGUGUUCUUAUCGAUCCUUUGAGUUUAUCGAUACUAUGGAUGAAAGGUCUAAGUUAUACCAAUUGGAUUUUUCUAAGAUCAUGGUUAGUUAGAUGGUUAAUAAAGGUUGGUACCCUAGAGUUAGGCUGGGAAAAAUCUACAAGAGAUAAAAGAACCACCAAUGAUAGUGGAUAACAGUGAAAAGUUAGGCCAAGGUAUGAAGUUGAGAAAUAGGAGGUAAAGAGGAUGCGAGAUAAUGGGAGAGGAGGAAAGAUGGUGAGAAACAUGUCAAUGGUUGUUCCACACUUGCAUGAAACAUUUAGGCCUGGAGGAUAUAUGUACCCAAUAGUGGAGGUAGAUGCUGAAAAGGAAUUAAGCAUGAAAGAAGCUUUUAUUGAGCUAUCCAUCUAGAUGAUAGGUGAAGAAAUCUAAAAAAAAAAGAAGUGUUGGUUCACUCAUGCCCAUCAGACUUUGAAUUAAAGAAUUAGAGUGUCAUCUAGAUGCCCACUAUCCUUGAUACCUCUUUAAUGUAAUUACAACUCCCAAUUGCUUAUGCCUAAAAGCAUUGGCAUGCUCUUUUAUGUAUAGACCUCUUAUUAUCCAUUAUCUUAAUAAAAAAAUAAGAAUAUGUAUUUUAUUCAUUUCUUUUAUUCAAUCUACAAUUUCAUUCCUGUCAAAGCAUAUCAUCAAUACUUCUUAUUUCAUUUAAUUUUAGGUCCUCAAAUGAAUAUGAAAAUAAUCAUGGUAAUAAUCAAGGAUUUAAUUUUGAAAUUCAAUUAAUAUUGAUGAACUCGAUACUGAAGAGGACUUUGAAGAAUAUACUUUACCUUUAUAUCUAAGAAGAUUGAUUGAACAGGAGAAUAAAUCUAUUGAGCCUCAUCAAAAAAUUACUAAGAUAAUCAAUUUAGGGGAUGAUGAGAAUAAGAAGAAGGUUAAGGUUGGCACAUCACUUCCAUUGGCUGAUAAACAAUGGUUAAAUGAUUUGUUUCAAGAAUUUAUAGAUGUGUUUGCCUAGUCUUAUCAAGAUAUGCCUAGUCUUAGCAUUGAGAUAGUAGAAUAUAUACUAUUUUGAAACUUGAAUGUAAGCCUAUUCAACAAAAACUGAGAAGAGUGAAGCCUGAAAUGCUACUGAAGAUCAAAAUAGAGGUAAAAAAGCAAUUUGAUGCAAGUUUUCUACAUGUGACCAAAUAUCCUAAGUGGAUAGCUAAUAUAGCACCUGUCUCGAAAAAGGAUUAAAAGUUAUGAAUGUGCGUGGACUGUCGUGAUCUGAACAAGGCUAGCUUGAAAGAUAAUUAUUUUUACCUCAUAUUGAUACAUUGGUGGAUAAUAUGGCCUGACAUUCAUUUUUUAUUUUUAUGGAUAGAUUCUCUGGUUAUAAUCAAAUAAAGAUGGCCUAGGAUAACAUGAAAAAAACUACCUUAAAAAAUUAUUUGAAAGGGUAAGAGAAUAUUAGCUUAAUCUAAAUCCAUCCAAAUACACAUUUAAAGCCAAGUCAGGGAUAUUGCUGGGUUUUGUAGUUAGUGAAAGGGGAAUGAAGUUAACCCAGACAAGAUAUGAACUAUCCAGAACCUAUCUCUAUUGAGUACGCCAAAAGAAGUUCAAGAUUUUCUAGGCAUAUUGAACUAUAUCUUUAGAUUUAUCUCCUAACUUACCUCCAAAUACAACCCUAUCUUUAAGCUUAUUUGAAAUAAUAAUCUAGGUGAAUGGAAUGGAAAAUGUUAAGAGGGUUUUGAUAAGGUUAAACAAUACUUGUCAAAUCCUCCAGUAUUAAUACCAUCAAUUUCAGAGAGACCAUUAAUCUUAUAUUUGAUCGUACAUGAGAAGUCGAUAGGGUGUGUAUUAGGGCAGUAAGAUGAAUCUGGUAGAAAGGAAAAAGCCAUUUAUUACUUGGGUAAGAAAUUCAUAAAGUAAGAGUUAAAAUAUUCAUCAUUGGAGAAAAUGUGUUACAUAAGAGUCAAAGUAUUCAUCAUUGGAGAAAAUGUGUUACACUUUAGCUUGGAUAGCUAGAGACUUAAGUAGUCUAUGCUUUACCAAACCACUUGACUUAUAGCUAAACUAGACCCAAUCAAGUACAUUUUUAAAAAACAAUAAUUAUCAAUAAGGAUUGCAAGAUGGCAAGUAACACUAUCAAAGUAUAAUAUUGUAUAUGUGACCUAAAACGCAAUCAAAGGAGGUGUUAUUACAAAAUUCCUUAUGAAUCAUGUCGCUGAAAGUUAUGAGCCAAUGAAACUUGAUUUUUUGGAUGAAGAAUCAAUGGCUGUAUCAUAAUUAGAGGAAGAUGAUAAGAUGAGAAGUCUUAGAGAAUGUACUUUGAUAGGGCUAUUAAUGCCUUAGGACAUGGAAUUAGGGCAAUUCUGAUAUCUCCCAAAGGAUGUUAUUAUCCUAUUACAGUAAGAUUAAACUUCAAUUGCACUAAUAAUGUAGCUAAAUAUAAGACUUGUGUUAUGGGUUUACAAGCUUUUUAUGACAAAAAAAUUAAAGUAUUGAAGGUGUUUGGGGAUUCACUUUUGGUUAUUUAACAAUUGAAAGAAGAAUGGGAGACAAGAGAUUAAAAACUUGUCACGUAUCAUAAAUACAUUUCAAAAAUACAAAAGUAGUUUGAAGUAGUCCAGUUUGAACAUUUGCCUUGUGAACAAAAUUAGAUUCUAGAUGCCUUAGCCACUUUGGCUGCGAUGAUUUGGAUUGAUAAUAAUGUUAAGGUAUAACCUAUCAAGAUAAAUGUUAAUGAUAUGCCAGUGUAUUGCACCAAUGUAGAAAAGGAAAGAGAUGGAAAGCCUUAGUAUUAUAACAUUCUACAAUACUUAAGAAAUUAACAUUACUGGAUUAGGCAACAGAGAAUGACAUGAGAGUCUUGAAGAGAUUGACUGUGGGAUUCUUUUUAGAUUGAGAGGUUCUUUAUAAGAGAAGUAGAGAUCGGGUGUUAUUGCAUUAUGUAAGUGCAUCUAAGGCAAAGAAGAUUAUUGAGGAUAUACAUAAUGGGAUAUAUGGAGCACAUGUAAAUGGACACAUGAUGGUAAGACAAAUUAUGAUAACCGAAUACUAUGAUUAACAAUGAAGAGUGACUACAUUGAUUAUGCUAAAAAUGUUACAAAUGCCUAAUUUAUGCCAACAAGAUUAUGCUUUGCCCACUAUUUUAAAUAUUUUGGCACCAUCUUGUCCAUUUUCUAUGUAGGGAAUAGAUGUCAUUGGUUUCAUCACCCCAAAAGCAUCAAACGAGUAUAGAUUCAUUUUUGUGAUGAUUGAUUACUUCAUUAAUGGGUCAAAGUAGCUUUUUUUACAAAUAUGACACAAUUAGUGGUCCGUAAGUUUAUCAAGAAAAAAAUAAUCUACAAAUAUAGACUCUCAAAGAAGAUCAUCUCAAAUAAUACUAAGAACUUCAACAAUAAAAUAAUGUAAAAACUAUGUGCUCAGUUUCAGAUUAAGCACCAUAAUUCAACACCAUACCAUCCAAAGAUGAAUGAGGCAAUAGAAGUUAUGAAAAAAAACAUCAAAAGGAUUAUGGAGAAAAUGAUUGAGGUGUAUAAAGAUUGACAUAAGAAAUUACCUUUUGUUUUGCAUGCUUCUUGAAUGUCAGUAUACAUCUCUAUUGGGGCAAUGCCAUUUUCCUUAGUUUAUGGGAUGGAAGCUAUAUGGCUAGUAGAAGUAGAAAUCCUAUCUUUAAGAGCUUUAAGAGAAGUAGGAUUAGAAAUCCCAUUUUUAAGAGUCAUAAGAGAAGUAGGAUAAAAAAAAGCUAAAUGGAUUAAAAAGUGCUAUAACCAACUGAACUUCAUUGAAGAAAAGAGAUUAACAGUGCUUUGUCACGAUCAACUAUACCAAAAAAGAGUGAUUAGAGCUCAUGAUAAAGGUCUGACCUCGUUAAUUUUAAAAAAAGAGUUAGCAUUAAAAAGAAUUCUCCUGAGUUAGUAUGACAACAAAAGAAAGUGGACACCAAAUUAGGAAAGACCAUAUAUUGUAAAAAGGCCUUUUCAAGAAGAGCAUUGGUCCUAAUGGAGAUGGAUAGAGAUGAUCUUUCCAAUUCUAUAAAUUCUGAUGUUGUGAAGAAGUACUUUGCUUAAAAAAAAAAGAAGUUCAAAUCAAAAACCUGAAAGGGUGAUUUUAACUAAAUAUCUAAGUUGAAAACCUAUAAAGGCAACUUGGAUAAGGAAAAUACAGCAUCAUUUGAAAGUUUGGUAUAUUUUGAAAAGCUCUACAAUGCUGAAAGCAUCAUAUGAUUGAGUUUUUAAAGAAAUCUGAUAUAUGUUAUCUUGAUUAUCUGAUUAUUUUUUUGGGGCAUUAUUAUCCCAAAUAUUUAUCUUUAUAUGCCUUGUCUUAUUGCCAUCAUUUGUAAUCUCUUUCUUCUCCAAAUAAAUGAUAUUCACUUCAUUCCUAUGUAUGCCUCACACCCUUGCCUUUUCUUUUAUAUUUAAAUACUUUGCAAUGAAUAGAAGAAAUGUAUAAUUUGUAUCUUAUAUUUUGAAAUUGGGGUAAUGAUUAAUAAAUGAACAAUGUCAUGCAAGAGUGUAUUACUUUAGGAGAGCUAAAAAAGAUAAGGCCAAAAGAUGAAAUCCUUGAAGUUUGGUGAAGACAUUUGUUUUGAAAUUCCUCUAAAAAACAAAGACUAGUGCCCAUUUUGAAUGGAUUUGAUUUUGUUCCCUUCAAUGAAAAUAUAAAGAGUUUGGGAUGUAAAAGAAAGAGUCCUAAGAACCUUAGUACCAUAAUCAAAAUUUCAUUAGGUGACAUCUACGCAUUGGCAUUAGUUGAUAUCUACAUAAAGCAUGCAUUUUAAUUGAUCAAUGUCAUCAUUCGCAUUAUCAUCUAUCACAUACAAAAUUUUGACUUUGAAUCUGUGAUUUUAAGAACAUUCUCUGCAUGGUGAAACCUUUAUUUUAGAAGAAUUUCUCUUGGAGAUCUCUAAGUAAGGUCUAUAAAGCUUCAUAUAUGAUUAUUGGUUAUAUUCAACCUUAGCUCGAUCCAGGUUAUCUUAGUUUUUUAACUUGUGGUUCCCAAUCACUCAUUUUCGAUCUUAACUCGAUCCAAAUCAUUUUAGCUUUGUGACCUGCAGUUCAAUCUCGAUCACUCAUUUUCAAUUUCGGCUUGAUCUAAAUCAUUUUAGCUUUUCGACUUACGAUUUAAUCUCAGUCACUCAUUUUCAAUCUCCACUAUGUCUAGAUCAUUUUGGUUUUCUAACUUGCGGCUCAAUCUUGGUUACUUGUUUUUUGACCUUGGCUCAAUCUAGGUCAUUUUAGUUUUCUGGCCUACAGUUCAAUCCCGAUCAUUUAUUCUCAGUCUUUUUUAAUCUAUACCAUUUAAUUUUUUAACUCACAACUCAGUCUUGAUCAUUUUCAUUUUUGUAGUUUGGCACACAUUGAUUACUAUUGACUCUAACUCAGUUCAAUCAUUCUCACAUUCUGAUUUAACUUUAGUUUUUGAGCUCAGGUAGUCUUUGCAUCAUUCUUUGUUUCACGUGAAUACGUAAAGAGGGCCAACUUACACACCAUUUUUCUCCAAGGUCUAAUCAUUUUCUCAAUUGUGAAUUUCAUUGAGAUCAUUGGGCCUUUCAAGCUUCAAAUAGUUUUUUAAUUUAGUUGAUAAUCUGGAUUUUGAGCUCAAUAGAGGGCUUUAUUUUGUUUGGAUUUUAAAGCCUAAAUCUUUCUUGGUCUAUUCUAGUGUGGACUACAGCCCAACAAUUAUUUUUGUUCUUAUUUUUCUAUUUGGUCUAUUCUAUAAAUAUUUUUUUUAUAAAAUAAGAAUAAAACAAAAAAGAAAAAGGAAAAUCAAAUCAAAUCUUGGGCCAAUCCUAAAAUCAUGAUCGCCGAAGGUUGGCAUUUAGAAACAAAAUCAUGUGUUAAAACUCUAAAUCAAGUCAUGGGUAAGGGAAUCAAUGAUUAGGGCAUGUGUUAAAACCAAGCUAGGAAUCGUGCAGUAACUAAAAUUUUUUAAAACCUAAGGCAAAUUUGAGGGAUUUGAUUGAAGGAAAUCCCUAAAAUUUUUUGUAAGAAUGAACCCUAUAAAUGAAAUCCUAAAUCAUAGAGGAAGGGGGAGGAAACUUUUUUUGCAUAAAAAAUUUUCUAUUUUUGUUCUUUAUUAGGGUAUUGCCAAAUUUGGGUUUGGUUUAUGUGAAAAUUCAUUUUUGGGUUGGUGUUGAGAAGCUUGAUUCUAUGUGGCUGUUGGUUUUAUUUUGAAAAAAAUUCUAGAAAAACUAGGUUUGUGUUUGAAUAUUUGAGUUUUUCGUUUGAGUUUCCCAACCAAAAAUUGAAGCUUCCUAUGCCUAACUCCAAAUUUUGGCGGAGAUUCCCAGAAUUCGAUGAAGCAGCCAAUCGAAUGUCAUCUACCUUCUAAAGAAAAGGCAAAAAAAAAUACAUAGUAGAAAGAGAGGGUUAGGUCGGUUUGAAAGAAAAAACAAAUUUUUUACUUUAAUAGCAUCCCGAUACGACACCAUUUCAUGUAGCCUAAAACCUGCCUUCAACCUAAAUAUGACUCACACGUCUGCCCGUCUCUGAAUCUGACCCAUUCCACAGGUAAUUCUUUUUCUUUUUUAAUUUAUUUUUUGUUUUUAUUUGUUUUUUUUAGAUUUUUUAUAUAUUGUUAUUAUUAUUAUUAUUAUUAUUAUUAUUAUUAUCAUUUGAUUCAAUAUCUUAAAUUAAACAAUUUCCAUCAUUAUUUAUUAAAUGCCUUUAUAUUAUUCAUUGUUUUGAAAAAUGACUAAAAAAUUGUUUCUAAAAUAAAUUCAUAAAUCCUACCAAAUUAUUGGUAGACUGUUUCAUAAAUUUAAAAUUAUAAAUUCUACCAAACUAUUGGAGAAUUUCAUAAAUCAUUUUUAUAAAAAAUUUUACUAUUAACAAAAUAUUUUGUAUUUUAUCCUACCAAACUAUUAAAGGAUUUGCAACUUAAAUUAAAUCUUAUCAAACUAUUGAAAGAUUUAAUUUAGUUUCUAAAAAUAAAUUUAUCUUACCAAACUAUUGGGAGAUUUACAUCAAAGUAAACCUACCAAACUAUUAGAUAAUUUUACUAAUUAUUUUUUGAAAAAAACAUAUUAAUGAAUCCGAUGACAGAGCUUCUUCAGAGUGAGACACUAAUCUCCAUGACUACUUCUGAGGUGAAAGAAUUAUCUUAAAUUAUUACCAAACUAUUUGAGUAAUUUUAAGAUCAAUUUUUAAUAUUAAAUAUUUUUGGUAAAUCAUAAAUGUGGUUAAGGCUUAGAUAAUUUGAAAUCAAACUGGUACCAUCUUUUGGAUAGGCGUUGUGAGGGUGCUAUAACCUUUCUCAUAUAAAAUCGUACUCCUAAACCUAAAAUCUAGUUUCGUGGACUAAGAUAUAUUAUUUAAAGAUACCUAAGUUUAUUUUUAGACUCCUCUUUAAAUGAAACAGAUUAUGUCAAGUAAUCAAUCGCAUUUAAAUAAAAAAGAUUAAUGACGACUCCUAAAUAUUAUGUCUAGCGGUAUGUCUACAGAUCUAUUCGUAAAUACACUGAGGUGAUCUUAACAUUCAUAGUUUAAAAUCACUUUAUUUAGUUAACAACAAUUAAUUCUUAGAAAUUAAUGAUUACUUUAUUUGGUAUUAUAAAAAAUUAAAUAUUAUUUUAUUUAAAAAUAUAAAAAUAACCAUGCACAUUAUAAUAAUUACAUAAAUUAAUAGUUUUAUGGUUGUUUAAAGAUAAUAAUUUGUAAAAUAUUAAUAAUAUUUUUUAUUUUAUAAUAAAAUAUAAUAAAAUUAUUAAAUUAAUAAAUAUACUUAUUGAUAGAUAAAUUUAUUUUUAUAAUAUAUAUUAUUAAAAAAAUUAUUUAAAAUAGAAAAUGAAACCAAUCUAUCAAAUUUAUAAUAAAAGAAAAAUAAAAAAUUAUAUUAUAUAUAAAAUAUUACAAAAAGUUUUAAAAAACAUAUACAAAUUAUUUUGAACUUGUUGUAAUGAAUAUUAGUUUAAAAAUAUAAAAAUUUAUAAUAUAAAAUAAUUAUAAUUUUAAGAUGCAGUAAAAUUUUAAUUCACAUAUUAAAUAGGUAAAAUUAACUAUUAUUAAUUUUAUAUAUUACUUCACUUUGGUGAUAAAAACUUUUUACUCAUUUGUAUAAGAAUUAGAUCACCCUCUAAGACAAUGAUCUAAUCACUUUCGGUGAUCCAAGAUCAUCGUUACGUUAGAUCACUAAGUGCUUACCAAAUACAGCGAUCAAAUUACUAUGUAUAGAUCGCCAUGAUUUUCAGAGUAAUCACCCCAUACCAAACACUACCUUACUAGUUAAAAAUUUCAGUGUUAAUUAAAUAUUUAUCUUCCAAAGUCAAAUUUUGUCAAGCCUUAACACCAAACACACUUUAUACCAUAUUAAACUUGUUCAAUGUUGUUUAGAAACUUUUGUUUGAUUUACUUGAGCCUAGCCACUGUAAACACAAUUUUUUAAUUAUUAUUAUUAUUAUUAUUAUUAUAUUUUUUUCAUUUUCUUUUUUUUUUUCUCUUUUUUCUUUCUUCUUUCUUUCCUUAUUUCUUUUUCCUUCUUCUUCUUCCUUAUCCAGUUCAAAUCUAGUGCAUUAAAUGCACAAUCCCUAAAGUCCAAAAUCACCGUCGCUAGCUGCUAGCGACGGACUGACAAGCUGCCUAUCACGCGUGGCAACCAUGAAUUUUCAGUUGAAAAAAAUGAGAUUCAAAUCCCAGAAGAUUUAGGAUUUGAAUCCAAAAAGCUCUAUAAAUAGAGCUUGUUAACUACAAAAUAGGAGAGAGGAAAAAAAUUAAAAAAAAAACUGAGAAAAAACUGCAAAAUUUUUUUUUAAAUAAAGCUUUUUGUAAAAAAAAAUUACUGCAAAAACAAAAAAAAGCAAAAACAGUCCUUUGGAACGGGGAACCCAACACCAAAAUACACCUAUACAUAAAAAAGGAAAACAAGAAAAACACACAAAAAAAUUUUAUUUUUUUUGGUUGAAAAUUUGAAGGCCGAUCUGGGUCGUUUUGGAUACUUUCGGGUGAAACCAAGCCCAGAUCUGUGUUUAGAGGACGAGGAGGAUUUUUUGAGGUUUUUUACGAUUUUUCGACCACCAGUGAUAGCGGCCGGUGAUCGACGAACGGCGUCAACGCGACGGUGACGACAACUGGCUGGUCCCCUGAUUUUUUUUUUUGUCCUGAGAGAAAAGGGAAAGUUUUUUUUGUGGGGAGAAAAAGAAAUUAUCGAAAAUUUUUUUUUUUAGUUUUAUAUAAGCGGCCAAAACUCAAAACGACGUCGUUUCACUAAUGCCUAAAACGAAGUCAUUUUAGCCUCUAAAGAUCCACGCGUCGACCUGUGACCCGACCUGGGGUCCGUGCAAUCGACCCGAUUACCCGACUCAUCCUCAGACCCAGAUCGAUUUAGGUGAAUCGAGCCAGACCAUCGUUAAACCGUUGAUACCAGAAUCGAAUCGUCCUUGAACCUCUAGACCGAACCGAGCUGUCGAUCCGACUGGACCCGCAUUGUCCGGUUCAGGUAAAAAAAUUUUUAAAUUUUUUUGUAUAUUAUUUUUAUAAUAUUUAUGCAUACUAAAAUAUUUAAAUUUGUUAGAAUAAUUUUUUAUGUAGUUAAAAUUUCUAUAAUUUUGUUAAUUUUAAAAUAAAAUUUAAAAUAUAAUAAAAUGAAAAUAAUGAAACUUUAUAAUAAUAAUAUUGAUAAAAAAAAAAGAAAAGGAAAUUUUAUCCAAUGAUGGGAUUUAAAGUAUUCCGAGUAGUGAUGCCUAUGAAAUCUCUAGGUGAGAAGAAUUUUUUUUAAAUAUUACCAGUGUAUUGGAGUAUUUAUAAAAAUUUUUCAAUACAAUAAAAAUUUUCUUUUUGUUAACAAUAAAUAAAAAUUAAUAAAUAUAUUAAAAAUAAUAAUAUAAAUAAGAAAAAAGAAAAUUUUAUCCAAUGAUGGGAUUCUAAAAGUAUUUCGAGUAGUGAUGCUUUACGAAAUCCCUAGGUGAGAAAUUUUUUUUUAAAUAUUACCAGUGUAUUGGAAUAUUUAUAGAAAAACUUCAAUACAAUAAAAAUUCUUUUUUUUUUCUUUCUUCAAAAUUAAAAAUUAAAAAAUUAAAAUUUUUGAAAAAGAAUAAAAUGUGUGCAUCAACAUGUUAUUAUUUGCAUUGCAUACAUGACAUAAUUUUUUACGAAAAGUAAAUUCGAACUUCCAAAGAUGAGAUUCUAAGGUAUUCCGAGAAGUGAUACCUAAGAAAAUCUCUAGGUGAGAAAGAGUUCUUUUAAUGUUACCAAUGUACUGGAACAUUUUAAGAAUAAUUUCAAUAAAAAGGUUCUAAUUUAUUUUUCUCGAAUAACAUUUAAAUAUAAAAAUAAUAAAUAAAAAAUAAAAAAAUCAAGAAAAUUAUUUUUCAAAUACUGAAAAUAAGAUUGUUUUUAUCAAAAUCGAAUGAUAACAUGUAGUUAAUUGGUAUCAUUUAAACGGGCGUUCUGGGGGUGUUAAUCAUUUCCCACAUGUAACCGACUCUCGAACCCAGACUAUUGCACAGACCUUAAAAUUAUCUUUUUAAUAAAUUUUAAUUAAUUUUAAGAUUUCAUUAAAAGGAUAUGUUUUAAUGAUGGCCAAUCCCACCUAGCCAAAAAAAGAUUGGUGGCGACUCCAUUUUUUUUUAUUUCAUUUUCAAAUUCGUCAGGCGAACACAAAACCGUUACGACAGCUUGACGACUCCACUAGGGAUAGGAAUUGUUUUUAAGAGUCAUGCCAAAAUUAACUACGUGUUAUCCUCGAAUUUUGAUUUAAAUAGUCCUAAUUGAUUUCUUAGAUUUUUAUUUUUCAUUUUCAACAAAAAAAGUAAAAAAAAAAUCAAACACAAAAAAAGUUCACACACAUUUCUUUUGCUAUGUUUUUUUUUAUACUUUAUUUUCUGUAUAUAUUACUCUUAAUAAAUUAGGAUACAUUUGCACACACAAUGACAUGCUGUACCUCCGCAAUCCCAAGCAAAAUACUUCUACUCAAAUUGAACCAUUUCUGUUCAUAGCCUGUAAUGGAUGAGGAUCGAGGUCCCUUACUAGUCUAGCAUGGAUGAUAGUAAGAAAUAAUUUGAUAACUUUUAGACACGUGUCAAUCCAAACCUAGCAUGUAACAAGCUUAGAAAACCAACCUUAGGUACAGCCUCGUCUACCUUCUUGUAAGAAAUAUCUAAGAAUCAAAGUUGUGUGUAAUAUAAAACAAAACAAAAAAUCUAAAAAAAAAAAUUUGUUUUCAAACCCCAUUUUUACACUAACUCAAUUUUAUUUUUUUUUUACAUAAAUUAUAUCAUACAGUUCGGCAUCGAGAUAUUUGCUCUAUGACAUAUUUCUCCCCAAAAAGUUUUCAUGGAUCCUAUAGAACUUCAGAUUUACUCAUCCUCAGUCAGUAUCCCAUGUGAGCCGUAUAAUGAAGUAUAUGUUUAGUUGAAAGAAGCCUAACUAAAUAAUGAAGAUUGCUUGCCUAUCAACUAUGUGUCAAAGUUACCCGAGAAGGUGCAUUUGGAUCUCACACAGAAUGAUUUAGAAGAUUUAGCUACUAUAUAGGGACAAUUAAAUGAAGAAAAAAAAGAAAGCUUUUGUAAGAAGUAUGGGCAGACUGCAUCCCUCAUUUCAGUAGUGAUCGAUGAACAAUUGAUAAGGACAGCUAUACAGUUUUGGGAUCCAUCCUAUAGAUGUUUUAUUUUUAAUCGAGAAGAUUUGAUGCCAACUAUUGAAGAAUAUUUGAUUUUGCUCAGAAUAAAACUAUAGUGUCCAGAUAAAGUAUUCACCUGAAAGCCAAAAUCAGGUUAUCGUAAAAAGUUGGCCAAGCUUAUGAGGGUUAAAGUGGAAACCAUUGAUUCUUUUAUGAAGCCUAAAGGUGAACAUCUCGGCAUUCAUUGGAACUUCCUCCGAAACUUCGUUCAGGAGCAUUUAAAUGAUGACAAAGGCAUGGCUGUGUUUACUUUAUCAUUGUAUGGCAUGGUAACUUUUCAAAGACUUUGGGUUACAUUGAGAUAACUGUGGUGGAUUUUUUCGAGCAAAUUAAAACCUAAGCAAUUAAUCUUGCACCAGUAGUCUUAGCAAAAACCAUUCGAUCAUUGAAUUUUUGUCGACGAUUCAUAAGAUGUGCACCACUAUUAUAUGUGUGGGUUAGAAGUCAUUCUAAAUGCAGGAAGAGUGCAUUUUCAAAGCCAUAUCUACGAAACAAAGCACCAAUUGAAGAGUUUUGCAAGAGUCAAUGGCAAACAUUGAAGAUUAAAGAAGAGUGGGUCUUUUUUUUUAUGAAGGAUUACCGAUGAUGAAAUUGAAUGGAUGGCACCUUGGAUGCCUUGAGUGCCUUUGUUGUAUUAUGGAGGAAAUGAGCCGUGGAUAUCGUUGUUAGGAUUAUAGGGUAUUGUAAGUUACGCUCCGUUGAUGGUGCUUAGGCAAUUUGGUGUAAAAUAGUUUGUUCCUGCCACUCAUGACUUAGCCCAAGUGGAGUUCAUUUAUGAAGAACUAAAUUCACCAAGAACCUCGAAGUAGUUAAUCUAAGCAUGAAAAAAAACACGAAGAAUGAGAUUGGGGCCUCUCAUCGACAAAGUCACUCAUGAUUACCAGAUUUAAAAAGUAAGACAGCCUAGAGACAUAGUACUCUCUUCUGAUGAUAGCUCACAUCAAUCAGCUAAUCUUUCAACAAAAGUACAAUUAUCAGAAGUUGAGCUUAUGAAGAAAGAAUUAAAAGCUGAAAAAAAUAAAAAGAGAAAAUUUGAGACUUUGUGAGAAGGUGGGACAACUAAGGUAUGAAGCAGAGAUGCAAGGGAGCAAAUUAGAAAAAAUCAUAAAAGAACAAGAUAUGGUUAAUAGUGAUUUGAAAGAUCUACACUAAAAAAAUAAGAGGUUACGAAUCUAAUUCAAAACUGAAAAAGUCACUAAGUCUUACCUUAGUUGGCAACACGAAAUAGAUGGGCUCUAAGAAGAAAUAAACCAAUAGAAAGGUAAAGCUCAAGAAAAGCAAAAGGAGACCACUAGAAUUUUUCAAAAAUGUCAAAAUUGGAAGGGGUUAUACUCUACAACCUCAGCAACAUUGGUGGAAUGCCAAAAAAAAAAGGAAAGGUUGAAAGCCAUGCUUGCAAAAGAGAAACGAAAGCACUUGGAAGUACUAAAUGAAAAACAAUCACUUCAUCAAAUAAUUCAAGGGUUAGAGCUACAACUGCAAGAUCACAAGAACCAUAUUUUAGUAAUGAUAGAUGAGUGGCAUAGAAGGAAAAAGAUUGGAUCUUCACAUGUGAUUCGAAAAGAAAUGCUCACCAUGAUAUGGAAAGUAAAAAGUUUAAGGAGCCAACAGUACAUAAAGCAUGUAACUAGUCAAGUUUGUAAGGCAGUAAAAAAGGCACGAGAGAUGGUUGAAAAGGUAAAAGCAUUAAGAAAAAAAAUCAAUCCUGUAGAAGAAUACGAACAAUGACUAGUAAACUUUCUAGAUGAGAUAAAAUGCCAUUAUGAACAAGUCAAAUGCUUCUAUGGAUAUAAUUCUAAGAUGAUAAAUCCCAUGUAAUCAAAGUUGUAUGGAAUCAAUGAAAAUUUUUAGUAUUGAAAUUUAUCCAGGAGCAAAUAUUUUUUACUUGCAUUCAUGCAUCAUUCGCACCAUCUUCUUUCUAAAAAAAAUUUCAAAAAAAAAAAUAAAAUUUUCGACACAUGGCAUUCUGAUGUUUCUAAAAAUUUUAUGGUAAUAAAGAUUCAAGAAUAGCUCGCCCUUCAAAAAUUUUGACUCAACCCACUCGCCAUUCAUACAACACCAGGACUCAAACAAGAAUUAUGAAACAAGAACAGACCAAUCGAUUUAAGAGAAUCAAGAAAGCUCAAAAAGAACUAAGAGAGGAUCUUAGUACAAUAAUGGAUAUGCUCAGGAAGAUAAAUGGGUGAUUAGCUUUAGUGCUAUUGGGAGAUUGUUACUGUGAGUCCUACAAGCCAAUUGUGAUUGGUUGUAAAAUACAAUUUUGUCAUUUCAUGUAUUACAUGUUUUAUCCAAAUUUUAAGGCAAACCACUUAAGAGACUAUCUCAUCUCUUAACUUACAUAAUUUUUUACAAACUAGUGAAGCCUCUAAUAGGUUGCUAGAUUUAUGUACAAUAAUGAAGAGACUAAUAAAGAUUGGUACAAGAUUAUAAAAGGAUAUGGAAUUAAAGUGCUAUAGACUUGAAAGUUUUUUAAUUUCUUAAUUUGAUGCUCUUGGUUCUCUCUUUAUAUUAGAGUGUGUUAAAAGCUUUCUUUUAUGGUGGAAAGUGAAUUUUAGCUGUUUGGAUGAUUUGAAUGAGAAAUAGACAUUAAAAAUUUAAACUUUUGGCUCAUUAAAUAUUUGUUCUAUUUCAAAAGAUUGAUCUUUUGCUAUAGGAGAUUAAUCUUUUAACUACAAAAUUAAAAAGCUUGACUAUUAGAGAUGUCACAAUGAUUUUGUCCAAAGACUUUAUCACUAAACAAUUUUAAAAACAUAAGGAGUCACACCGAUCUUCUUUUGGUUAGGUGUGACUAACCAUCUAGAAAACUUACCAUUUUAAUAAAACCCUAAAAACAAUUAAGAUUUAUCAAAAAUAUAAUUUUUGGGUCUACAAAAAUAGUUUGAAUUUGAGAGUAUAAUUACAUAUGAGGAAAAUUAGUGCCCUACAGUAUCCAUUAAAAAAAGGUACCAAUUAACUAUGCAUCAUCUAUAUGCCUUGAUAAAAAUGAUUUUAAUUUUAAUAUUUAACAAUAAUUCCCUAAGUUGCUCAUCAAAACUAUUUUAUUGCUUUUUUACCAAUUUUACUUUAUUUCAUCAUCUUUUAUUAAAAAAAAAAGAAUUUUUAUCUUUUUUAUGUUUUUGAAGGGUAAACAAAAACUUUUUUAUAUUGAAACUUUCUUAGCACAUUCUAAUACUUUAGCAAUGUUAUAAGAAAUAUUUUCACCUAAGGAUUUUUUAGGAAUCACAAUUUAGACUUUUUUAGAAUUCUAUCAUCAUAGACUCAAGUUUUUUUCAUUGUGUUCAUGCAUUAUCAUAUGCAACUUUAUUUCUUUUAUAAAAAAAUAUUUUUUAUUCUAAAUUAAAUAAAAGAAAAGCAAUAAGUGAAAAUAUUUUUGUAAUGAAUAUUCCCCUAAAUACUUUAAUAUUUUGGUAGCAUUUUUAAAAAUAAAUUCUCAUCUAGAGAUUUCUAAAAGAUCACUAUUAGGACUUUUUUAAUAUCCCAUCUUCAAAAAAUCUUUACAAUUUUUAAAUUACCAAGAUGAAAUACAAAUUUAUUAAAUCUACCGGUUAAUAUAAUUUUAGAAAUCUUCCAAAUGAAUACUUCAAUAAACAAAUAUAUAACUAAAUAAAAUAAAUAAUUUUUUUUUUAAAAUACCAAAUCAAAUUGGUCAAAAGAUCUACUCAACUGGUCAAAGAUCCAAUCAACACAAAUCAUUGGAAGGGAUCUAGUCAAUGGGCACGUAGGUUGGUUCUAACCUGUCUUUCUUUUUUUUUUAUUUAUUUUCAGCCCCACUAUAAAACCUAAAAAAUUUUAUUUUCUUCAUUUUUUUCACUUUUAUUUUCUCUCUCAAGCUUCAAACAUUCUCUCUUUAAAAAGCCAUUGGUACCAGCUUUUUAAUCCCAGAAUCUAACAAUCAAUUGUCGUCAUUGUUGCUAGUCACCGUCAAUGGUUGUUGCUACUCAGUUUCGGAUUUUCAUUGAAAAAUACCAAAAUGCUCAUUCUUCCUUUGUCUUUAUCUCUUCAUAGUAGUUUUUCCCAAAACUAACUUAACCACUCUGGAUCUAGCCCUAAAAUCAUUGGUUUUAAACUUAAAAAUAUCUUAUUUUCAUCGACCAAACACCUAAUCUUCCUACUAUGUUAUUCUCCUUCCAAAACUUUCGUAUAAUCCAAAACUCCGAUCCUGAAACCCCUUGAAAGUAACCUAACCCGAAACCUUCUUUCCCCUCUGUUUUUUAUAUUUAUUUUCUUGUUUGUUUUUUUGGUUUGAUCGGGUUCCUCACUGACUUGCUUUUUUUCGCUUUUUUUUCUUGGAUGGAGUUUUGGUGGUGGUUCUUUGUUGGCUUUUAGCACCCAACGGUGGUGUUGGGAACUCAUAACGGGUUUAUUUUUGGUCUGGUGGUUGUUGGUAGGAGGUCACAAUGGAGGUAAUGGGUUAAGGGGAUUUUUUGGUAGAGUCUUCUUGCUUGCUAGUGGAUAGUUUUCUAAGUUUAGCUCGAGGUGGCUUGGGGAUAUGGUUCAGAUUUAGUUAUGGCAAUGUUUUAGAGAUUAGGGUGAUUAUUCAAUGGUGAUUGUUUUGGUGUCUUUAGUGAUGGUUGCUUGAGGAGACUUUAGUGAUGGUGGUUCAGCUUAGGAUUCUCUUUUCUAGUAAGAUUUUUGCUGUCAACAUAUGAGAACUUAGGAUUUUUUUCGCGUGUCCCUUUUCCUUCGUAUCUGUAAAUUAGCUAUAUUUGAAGAGCAAUAAUGGAAUCAAAUCUUAAAUUUUUUGGGAUUGAAAAGUUUGAUUGAGGGAUUGCAACUGAUAUUUAGCUGCCUUGGUGGCUAGCCUUAGGAUGGGGAUGGUAAGGUGGGUUGAGUUGCAGUUGGAAAGCUAACAGGGUAAGGGUUGUGUGGGUGACGUGCAUGGCACUUGUUGCAAUUUUUUUAACUCACAUUAUUUAUUUAUUUUUUCUAAUUAAAUUUUGGUUAAUUUUUUUAAUUAGAAAGGAAAAGAAAAUAUAUUCAUUUUAAUGAGUUAUGUGCUUUGUUAAAAUUUGGACUAUAGGCUUUCAAGCCCAAUGACUUUAACUCUAAGUUUUUAGGCUCAAAUGACCCAUGUAAUAAAACUAUUGCAAUCAAGCCUAACAUGACCCAAAUUACUUAAUAAAUUUAAUUGAGAUAAUAAAAAUGGGUCUAAAUUGAAAAUAAAAUUCAAAAUCCAUUCCAGUCAACCUAGAAAAAUUAGGUAUAUACAAUGGUAUCAAUCCUUUUAAAAGGGGACUAACCCUAAAACUAAUCAUUUCUUUGUCAAAUGAUCGAUCAUUUGAGCAAGGGCCUUUUAGCUAAAAAUUCAAAGGAAGCAUUUUAUUUGUUAAAGGAUUGAUCCUUUUCAUAAAAAAGAUCGAUCAUUCAAUAAAAAUCAAAGGAGAAUUCAAUCCUUUGAUGAUGGAAAUCAAUCAUUUUACUUAAUUUUCAAAAUUUUGCCUUUUUUAACCUAGAAAAGGAUUGUCUUUAUCCCAAAACUCAUUUGAAAAAAAUUCAUUCAAAGAAUCAUAUUUUAAAAAGGGACUAAAUCCUAAACGUUAAAGCAAUUUUAAAAUCAUUUGUUUUGAAUCCAAGAAUAAAUGUAUCUUCUUUGCAUUAUCAUCAUAUACUCAUUCUCACCAAAUUAGCUAACACAAAAUCAAUUAACUCACCUUUACCUAGCAAAAAGAAAAAACUUGUUAGAAAAGAAUCAUUAACAUCUUGCAAAAGUUAAUUAGAAAAAUAGUCAAAAAAUCAAUAAAAAAAAAAGCAACUUGAAGAGUAUGGUUAAAAAUUUCACUUUUUAGGAUCAUCAUAAUAUAAGUUAAUCUCUUGUUGAUUUACUUAUUUGUUGUUAAAAUGUAAGUUUAUUUAUGUCAGUAAAAUUUUAGAAAUAUUUAAAAAUAAAUGUUCUUACUAAUUUAAUUGUUUAGCGUAAAAAAAUAUUGAUAAGUUUUUUUUUUAAAAAAUUUUUUUACGUAAGCCACUUACUCACAGCCCCAAAAUAUGCCAUUGAAUUUGGAUGAACACAUUGGCUUAAUGAAAAUUUUGAAAGGUAACAGAUAUUUUUUUUGAACAAACCACUUAUUAAAAAAAAGUAAUAGAUUUGUCCCUAUUUGAAAAUCAUAGACAACUAUUAAAAAGUUACAUAAUGCGUUUUCUCAAAAAAAAAAGAAAGAAAAAAAAGGGGGUGGGGGGGGUGGGGGAGUGGGGGGUUACGUAAUGCGUCAACGAUAUUUAUUUUCCAAAUUUACUCCUAAACAAACAUAUUUUUGCCAAAGUUUCCCUCUGACAAGCUGAUUCGACCUGACCCGUAUUUGUGUUAGGCUCGUAUUUCCUCUCGAACCUCCAGUUCCUUCUCAUGUUUUGCAAAUUCCGAGGCAUCCAUUUGGUUGUUGAUGAUCUUAUUUUGGAACUCUUUUGGUGUUUCCUGAUUUUCAUCGUCACCCUUCAUUGUUUCUCCAAUAUUUUUCACUUCAUGUUCCUUAUUGGAGAUGCUACCAUUGCUUUGAAAGAGAAUAUUUGCAAUCCAAUUGCGAAAUUGCUCAGUGGAUUCCUCAUCUGUGAACACAGAUGAAUCAACUAAUGCAAGAUAACCAAGAUCGAUAUUACUUGAAAUGACAACUAGCUAUUGCGAUGCUUCUUCUUAUACAACUCUUACUGGUAUAUAUGCUAUUAUCGUAACAAUUUAAACAAGUUUGGAAUUGAAAAUGUUACCAAAAUAAAUUUAACGAUUAAUUGUUCACUUUGUUAAAGAUUAUUUUCGAUUGAACAUUUAAGUUUGUUGAUUUUAGACUUGCAAAAUAUAUUUAUAAAAUUGAUUUUGCUACUAUAUUACGAAUCUAUAACAAAAUAUAAAAGGAGUCCAAACUCCAAUUUACUGUACAGGUAUGGAAUGUCUUAAAAAAAUUAGUGGAUAUAUUUGGUGUUUGUUUGUAAUUGGGACAGUUGGCGCUGGUGGAAAAGUUGGAAAUUCUAGGGGUUUGAGCUUUGAGGGUUGUGAACUGUUUGAAAUAGGAAAGAGACCAGAUUGUUUGGGAGAAAGGGGGAGGGAAUUUAGUAAUAGAGGACCGCUACACAAGGGGGGGGGGGGGGGGGGGGGGGGGGGGCUGAACUGAAGGGGUUUGAUUAGAGUAAAAGCGAUUUGAAAGUCGAUGGGGGCAAAGGCGAGGAAAGUGUCGAAGAAAAUAAUAAAGAAGGCGUCUUCUCAAUUUUCACAUUCUGAUUCUAAAACAGCCUCUAUUGAUUUCCUGGUAUAUUUCUUUUUUAGUAUUCAAUUUUUGCCUGUUGAUUUUUCCUUCCUUGCUUUUGUAAUCCCAAACUGGUUUUGAAUGCUGCAUAUAUCUAUGAAAAAGCCAUUGGAAGGCGGUUAAACUCCCUUCAUUUAUAUGCAAGAUCCAUUUAUAUGCAAGAUCGUUACUCCGUGGGUGGAACCGCCGGAGCCGUCGUAAUUGCCUAGGUGGAGCUUUUAGUCUAUGUGGGAGUUAGCUUCAGUACUUAAUUUCUUGCAUGUAAGUUAAAUUCUUAUGUUAUUUUGCUUUUAUUUAUUCAUUAUGAAGCUUUGGUUUUUGUUGGGAACUUAUGGAUUUUUAGGCCACUUUUAAAUAAAACAUGGUCCUGUGGGAGUUCUCGGCGGAGUUUGCGAAAGCGUUGAUUACGCCUAAUGAUACUUUGGGAGAUAUUCUUGUUCCUUUGUUAAAGGUUCGUUCUUUUCUUUUCAACUCCUAAAAACUUUGAUUUUAUUUUUGGGUUCUUUAAAACAUGCCCUUUUUUAUGUGUUUUUUUCAUGGUCCUUGUCCUUGGCAUUACUUUAGUCCUUAUUGAGGCAAUAUGUUAUUUUUAAAGUCUUGACUUUGCUUUUAGCAAUACGUUUAUUAAUUUGAGUGGUAUAAAAGUGUAGAUUUUUACUUAGUAUUUUGAAUUUGGUAGAGCAAUAGUUGGAUGGUUAUAGAAUUUAUCUCUUGAAUUAUGGCUUUCUGCAGUUAAGAAUUUAAUUUCUUCAUGAAGCUAUUGGUAUGAUGGGGCUCUUUGAAAGCUAUAGCUAUUAAUGAAUCCCAACAAAAAGUUGUGUGAGACAUGAAUCAACUUUCUUCUUGGAUUGGGGCUUGAGGGUUUUCAUCUUCUUAUGUCUUUGAUUUCUUAUAUUGGCUUAAUGAAGUUAAAAAGAACAUGCAAAUCAUUAAAAGAAUAAGUUGUCUCCUUUGACAUAUUUAUAAUUCAUUUUCUAACAUGAGAAAAUCUUGAUUUUUAUAUGUAUCAUUGCUUUGAAGAAUGAAACCAGGAGUUAAUACCUCACGGUGGAUGGAGUGUCCAUGAGUUUUAUAUUCUAAUCCAAAGUUUAGCAUACGCGUGAUGGAACACUGAUUCGCUGAAGAGUUGUGCUCAAAAGGUUUGAAGAUGGCUUCAUGUAUGAAAAGCAAAACCCUUAAGUGACCCUAAGGUUGGUACAGUUGUUUAUAUUUGUUUGUGUUUGGAGAAAGGAAUUUUAGGUUGGUACUUUUAAUGUUGAUUGUCCACAUACUUUUUGGCCAAGAAGUAUUUAUCAUUAUAAAAUAUAAUAUACUUAGUAAAAAGAUGGGUGAGAUUGAUUUCUGUAGAAUUUGUUAAUUUCAAUGGCUUGCUGGAAGUUUUUUGUACCAAUUUAGGGCCAACAAAGAAUGAUAUCAAGCCAAAUAUAUUCUGUUUACUCACAUUCUUUUCCAUUAUUGUAUGGAUCCUCUUUAUCAUAUUCAAUUAUGACAUUUGUAAUGAUUAUCUAGAGAUUAAUUUUAAUGGACAGUUUAAAUGAAUUACAUAGGAAGAAAACUACUUCACUAUUUGCUUUAGUGUUUUCAAUAAAUACUAAUUUUCUAGGGUGGAGGUUGAAGUAUACAAUAUAAGUCACUUGAUCUUGGAAUUCAUGCUGUAAUCUUGAAAACACUAAGUGACACUCGCGUUGAGCUAUGAUAAUCAUCAAUAAAUUGUCUUUUAACUCUCCAUUGUAAAUGCUUGAUGUUUCUUUUAUUGAUCUUGACUUUGAUUUCCCAUAUAUAUUAUAUUGUAAUUUUGAGGGCAGCAUCAACUCUAUUCAUGUAAUAUUGGUGGAACUAAAAUUUAUGAUUGCGAAUAUUUCAAAUAAGUCCUGAAUGGCAGAAUUCUUGUAGCUUAGUGUUGGACACUUAGAUGGUUGGACACCUGUUUACUUUACCUGGGACCUGCAUUACAGUUGCAUUUUAUUAACUAAUGAUGCACUAACAUAUUGGUCUAUACAGUUUUUGUUGUACAUUGUCGCUGUCAUUGUCAUGUAUAUGAAGGCUUACUUCUCUUUUAAUUAUCUUUACAUUGAAACAAUUUUUCUAUCAACAUAAGUGAGUAAAUAGCUCUUCUUGACAAUGAUUUUUAGAUCUAAAUGUGCUUUAAUCUUUAUGUUAUGGUAAUAUGCUCAUUAUAAAUAAGUUAAACAGUUUUAAUUAACUUGGAAGAAUUUCAAGAUGAAUCAUACCUUUUGUGCCACUUCCAAUUCUUAUUUUAAUAGGAAUGGGACUCUUACCUUUUUUGAUGGCAACAAAAAAUUUUCGUUGUAUGUUGGCUUUUGCAUGCAUUCAUUUCCUUUGUUUGUACUUAUUUGCAUAAGAAUGUGAUGAGAUUCUAUGGCCCUUAAUGUUGUUCCCAAUGAUGAAGAAAUUAUGGAUGUUAAGGCUACAACAAUUUCCAGCACUACAGUGUAGAUUCCAACUUCUACAAAGAGAUCCAUUGUCAGGUUAGACAUUAUUUUUAUUUUUGUUUUAUGUAUUUUUUUCACUCCUUAUGUUAUAUUUUUUUCGGUGUUAUAGGUUAGAUAACCUCAUUAUGGAAGCGAUUACAAGCUUGAAGGAGCAUGGUGAUUCAAAUAAGACAACUAUUGCGGCAUGUAUAGAGGUAGUGUUUUAUUUGCAGUAUUCAUUGUUUAUAAUUCAAUUUUCUUUUUGUGAUUUAAAGAAAAUAUUGCAUUAGAGAUCUGUAAUAAACUGAGAUAUGAGGAAUAAAUCAGAUUUUAUGAUAUGAGAACUUUAAAAUGGCACAUGAGAAGCUGAGGUCUCUCAACUAAUUUAUUAUAGUUUGAAGCUUAUAGGAGACCUUUUUAGUUUAUUCUUUAAUUGCUAUUGCUAUUCUUGCCCAACAAUGGCGAAGAAGAGAAAAAGAAAGAGCUGUGAGGAAAGACUUGUGUGAACCCAAUGUUUCUGUUUUUAUGUUAUAUUUCAAGUUUGAUUUUGAAGGUGGUAGAAUUGGAGUUACUAAGUGACCAUAAAGUCUGCAUGUCACUCAGCUUUUCCCAUCUCUUUGUUUAGGGCAUUGCUAAUCUUAUUUAUUUUCACCAUGAAACCUGGCCAUUUUGGAUGACACCAGAAAUUUAAUGACACUUGACAUGCCAAAACAAUUAUUUCAUCAAUUUAAUCUGCUCACUAGGAUUUAAAAUGAUGUGAUGUUCCAUCUUAUACUUUGGUGAUGACAGCACCCACUUAGUUUAGCACAUCAGGACAAUGUAAAUAAAUAUAUUUUCUAUGAGUUGUUGGUCUUCUUGUUGUGGAUCUAGCAUUUCUAUAUUUCUGGAAAUAUUUUCCCCCUUAAGGAAAUCACAAUGGCAAUUUUGAUAUGUUAUUAAAAUAUUUUCCAAUAUAUUUCCUUUACCACAUCAAUUACGUUCUUCUAAAAUGCCCUCCAUCCUUAAGGCUUAGCAUUAAGCAGAGUUAUAUUACUCAAUUCCAUAGUGUUCUAUUGUUAUGUGAUGGAAAAUCUUCUACUAUCUUUCAAUUUAAAUAGUAAAACUUCGGUUGUUAACAACAAGGUGUGGUGUCUGUGGGAAGUGGACCAUUGGAUCAACUAUUUGGUGGUGGAAACUCUCAUCAGUUUUUGCUAGGGCAGGUGUUGCAGCCCUCACCAGUGGACUGAUAGCAAUUUUGUUUAUCCCUCAACUUAGUUCACAGAAGAAUAGGUCCUUCCCAUGAGGUAUUUUGUUGUACCUUAUUUUUUGUUUGCCAUGAACAUGAAUAUUAAAUUGUUCAGAUAGCAAGAAUUUGUAUAUAGCUAUUGUUAUUUUAUUGAUCAAUAAAAUCAUUAUGAUCUGAGGUUUUGUUUGCCAAUAUGUUAUUUUAUUUGACAUUUGAAACACUAAAAAGCUAGCUGCAGCUUCAUUUUCAUUGGUUUUCCAACACGUGAUCAUCUAUUCUGUUUUCUGAAUAUAGAUAAAGUUGUUUCUGCUGAUUGAUGCUUUGACUCACGGAUGCCUUGCCUCAUGUUUUCUCUUUUAUCUUUUCUGUGAAAGUGCAAUCAAGACAAUUUAUGUAAUAGCUUAUUGGGGUUCAAUAUUUUUGUUAGCACUAUAAUGCCUCUGAUGCUUCAAAUAAAUGAUGAUAAUGCUCUUUGAUCAAAAUUAUAAAUUUUGCUAGGAUUCACUUAGUUUGUUUCUAAAAAGAAGUUGCAAUUCUCCAAUCUUGAUCACCAUCCCGAUCAAUGUGUCAUGCACCACUUUCAUAUUUGCACAUGCUACUAAUAUGCUUAAAAGGUCAUUGAAUUGUUAUGUCUAUUUUAAAUGAAUUCAAAUGUCAUAUGUCCAAUUGUAAUACUUUGAAAUAUGUAUAUGCGUGUAUGUAUAUUAAUUUUCCAUUACAUUCAUGUACUUAAAUAAAAUUUCAUUUCAUAAUGAAACAUUUAUAUCAUAUUAUUUUUUAAAUUUAAAGCAACAUAGCAAGGGACAACUAAUUUUAAUAAGUAAAUUUUUAAUUCACAUAUUCUUCUUUCUUCUUCGUUUUAUUAAUCUCUCAUUGUUCAGAAAUUUACAUAAUAAAUAAAAUCUUUUGAUGCUAUUGCAGGGGAAUAAGUGAUGAGAAUAAAGCCAUAAAAAAUUCAUAUUAACAUUGCUCAUAAUAAUUUUCUAAAUAUGUUUUUAAUAUUUAUACUAUCUUUUAUUAUGCGAAUUUUUUCAAAGUUAAUUCAAUUUCUUGAUGUUUGAAGGAAUCUUUUAUUAUUGUGUGGUGCAAAUAAAGGUAAGUUUGAUUCAAUUCGAGUGUUAGUGGUUGAUGAGGUAACUAAAAUAUAAUUGCGUUUGCCUUUGUUAAUUAGUUGUUGACUUAUUUAUAAUCCAUUUCUGGUGGGCAGCCACUUUUGCAUUUAAAUUUCCAACAUAGCAUUUCAAGAUGAAUAUUACAAUAGUUUGAAUGGCAUUUUUAUUUUUCAAUGUAUUCUUGAAUUGUAAGUAAUACUUUUUUUUGGGGAAUGCUUCUUAAUUUAUUGGUUGGCAAUGUCUCUUACUCUACAGGGAUAGUCAACUGAUAUUAUUUUCACUUCUACUUGUUGGAUUUUGUCAUAUGAAAAUCCUUCAAUCACAAUAGGCAACAAGGUGGCAAUCAUUUUUCAUUAACAGCUUCUUCUGUUAAACAUGAUGUUGCCAUCUAGAAUUCUUGGCUUUUUAGACAUUUCUGAGAAGUACAUUCCUCCUUGAAUUGAUGAACACACCUCCUUAUAUCUGUUUUCCUUUUUGGAAAUGUGGUUUUAAUAUUUUUUUCUCUCUUGAUGAACUCUGCAUUGCCUUUUUGUAUAAGAAACCCCAUAUUGCUCACUCUAUGUAGGUGAGAGAUGUACUAUAUCUUUUUUUUAUAUAUAUAUACAUAAAUUCUUAAAUUGAUUUUGUUUUGAUUAUUUAUAUUUUAAUAUACUGGUUUUUUUUAUAUAUUUCAAAUUUUCAAAUUUAUUAGAUUGACUUUGUUUUGAUUAUUUAAUUUUUAGUAUAUUAUUUUUUAUAUUUCGAAUUUUCAAUUAUGCUAAAGAAAAAAAAAGAAAAAAACCAUAGGGAAACAGGGCAUCAUACUAGUUUAUGAUGGUUUCAACAGAAGAUAAAUUAUUUGGGGAAGUAGUUAAAUAUUGAGUAUAGAAAAGGGAAUCAAAACCCAAAGUAUAAGAAUGAAAAGGCAACAAGUAGAAAGCAUUGAGGUACGUACCCAGUCUUGGGACAGUGUGGCCUUGGGGGUGCCUGAUGAUGAGAGGAUCAUCGAAGGCCGUAGCCAGCUCCUCCGAAGGCAACCUUAACCAGUCCUUAGCUCCUAUGAAGUGGACUGAUU